This 75955-nucleotide long non-coding RNA is filed under the name Citrus x clementina. RNAcentral's name for it is "Citrus clementina (C. clementina) long non-coding RNA (CCLE_LNC006681)". Lineage: Eukaryota; Viridiplantae; Streptophyta; Magnoliopsida; Sapindales; Rutaceae. The record is from RNAcentral.
AAUGAAAGCAAGAUGCCACGGAUCUCCAAAAUCAUCCUUGCUGAAUACCUAUUUCCUCAUAGUCUAACCCACUUGAGUUUUUCUAAUACUGACCUAAUGGAUGAUCCCAUGCCGACACUAGAAAAGCUGCCACUUCUUCAAGUGCUCAAACUGAAGCAAAACUCGUAUUCAGGUAGAAAGCUGACUUGUGGAUCUGAUGGUUUUCCAAGGCUUAAUGUAUUGCACAUGAAAUCAAUGCUAUGGCUAGAGGAGUGGACUAUGGGGACUGGGGCCAUGCCAAAACUAGAAUGCUUACUUAUCAACCCUUGUGCUUACUUGAAAAGGGUUCCUGAACAGCUCUGGUGCAUAAAGAGCUUAAACAAAUUCGAUUGCUGGUGGCCUCAGCCAGAGCUGAGACAAAAGCUACGGGAAUUCAAGGAUAAGGAGCAGUAUGGCGUUCAGCUUUAUCCUUACGGAAUUUGAUUAGCCCUGAUUGAGUUUCAUGUAAGUUUUUUCUUCUUCCCCAAUAACUUCAACCUUUAAUUAUUGAUCUAAUUUCAUAUAAAAGUUUUUUUUCCUCCACAAUAGAUUUGAUAGUAUGCAGCUGCCUAAACUAUAAUCAUAAUAUAAAGUGUUUUCUACAUUCUAAUUGUGGUUGCUUCUAAUUUUUGUCUCAACAUAAACUUGAAGUGUCCAUCACAGUUCCUGAUGCUGACACCAUUCAUUAAAAACUGUAUGAUAAGAUCUUCUAUCAGUUGUAUGUGCAGGUAAAAGCAGAGCGGAAAAUAUCUUAACUGUACUGCAGCCAAAGUUUCAAUUUCAACCAGAAUCCAGCCUUCAUCCUUUCAGUGUUCACUUCUGCUGAGUUGUCUACACGUUGUUUGGUUUCUUUGUUUUCAAGGAUUUGCAUGCUAAAGUAAUAAUGUCAUGUUCGGAUUAAUAUAUUGUACAAAAGUCUGAUUAAUUGUUUUACUUUCUAUUUUCAGUUUCACUGGUGUGUAUUCAAUUUGUCAACAUUCAAAUUGAUAUAUGUUAUGUUUUUAUUUUUAUUUUAUUUCUUUCUCUAGUUUUUAAGUAGCGGUACAGUUCAACUUCAAGCUUAGUACUUCAGUUAGAAGAAUAGUAUUUGUGCUUUGAUCUCAUCUCAUCAUCUCAACACAGGCAGAACGACAUUGUUGUUCGGUUUUUUGGAAUUUCACCGACGUGUCGGUCAUUAUAAGGGCGAGAAUGCUGGUCAAAAGUCAGUUGGGGUUAGUUAAAAAAGUGCAGGAAAAUUCUGGGAUUGUUAGAGAUGGCCUUUAUGAUAGUUUAUAAGGCUGGUUGAUGGGUCAUCUUCUCAGAUCUCAUCAAAGCUAUGGGGAGGGAGGGAGAGAGAGAGUUAAAGUAGAAAGUUGUAUAUUCUUGUUCUCUGUAACAAGCUCUACAUCCUGGUAACCUUGAUUUGCGACAUAGUGAAAGCUUGAAAGCUUGUAUCCUUGUUCUUCACUGGAUUUAGGCACUUUGAUUCAAUUUUUAGUUCGGAUUUCUGAGAACGAGUCUUCAUACAUCAAAUCAAAGAUGGUCUGAGGUGUUUGAUCUUGGUACUGUCAGAGGAUUAAACACAACAAAAAGAAACUGGGACAUAUUGCCUAAUCUUCAUAGUCUUGAGAUAUAUGGAGAUUAAGCCCUUGUCAAUUUGGGUUGUCCAACAACCCUUUUAAAAUCGAAAACCAGCACUAAUCCUUGGUGAUUUGGAGCAGAAGAUUUAACGAGUAAAGUUCCGAAAGUGGAAUCAUACCAUUACCAAAGCCCUCUUUUGCAGCAGAGAAAUCCCUUAUAGCCAUUGAGAUUAAUUGAUUAAAUGGAGUUGACAAAUGAAACAAAAACGAAAAAAAAAAAAAAAACUUCAAUUCUACCAAAAUCAUUCAACCAUUAAUACCCACUUUGAAUAAAAUUCAACAUCCUUUUUUCUAUCCCUUUCAGGUAAUAAGUUGCUUCUGUUGUUUUUAAUCUCAAUAAGAUAUAUAUCAUCGGCAUAUUGAAGUUUGUGAUUAUUCUAAGAAAAAAUAGGUGCUUUAUUAUUUGAAUUAUCGACAAAAUAAUUCCAUUUCAUUAUUUUGUUAGAUCCACUAUAUGUACAUGUUUGAAUCUUAUUCACAAGUUUUGAUUUCACUCUCACGUUUCAUAUGAUGUCAAAUCAGAUAAAAAGAAAAAAAAAAAUGAAAGCUAGCUUGUCGGUAGCAAUUACAUUAGCAUUUAGCAAAUGUUAUUUUGAGUACAAGCACAAUUUGGCUCAUUUUCCAGGACCAACUAUCUUCCAUUUAGAAAUGCAUUGACAAACAGAUUAAUUGGUAAAAUGAUGGUUUCUAGAUAGAAUCUUUCCAAGUUGCACUAAACUCCUUUCCUCCAAGCUAAACAUUAAUUAAUUUGCAUUUGAUAAAAUUUUUCUUUCUAUUCUUUUUGCAUAACGAUUGGUCACCAAUCUUGAUUCAAUUUUUUGAAUGGCAACUUACUGCUGGAUUAAUUAGAGAAUCAGACAUCACUCAUAAGGCAUCAAUCGGGUAAAGUUAUUUUCAUACAAUUACUUUCUUCAUAUCACAUCAGUCUAUACAAAUUUAUUUAUACAAGAUAGUUGUUACUCUAUCAUUAUUCAUCAAGAGAUCUAAAGAGAUAUAUAUAUAUAUAUUGGGGAUGGAUCAACAGCCCCCUAAAAAUACUCUUAAUUUUACACUAAUUAAUAUUUAUUAGAUUUGAAUUGAAUCAAUGGAUGUGAUUAAUUGAAAUUAAAUCUUCAAGACCUUUUAAUAUUCUCUCUCUCAAUGUGGUUCCCACUUAAAAUUUUUCUCACUCUUUUAUUUUUUCCCUUCGUUCACGUGAUGUGCUCUCUCUCUCUUCUCUUCUCUUGUUCUUUUUAAUCUAUGAUUUUUCGUUUGCUUUUUUCUUUCUUCCUCAGUCAUAAAAAGUCUUAACUCUCUCUAGCAAAAAUUCUUUACUCUCUCCAACUUUUAACUCCACAACUCUUUUUUUCACUUUUUUUUCUCUCUCCACAUACCAUUUGAAAGCACAAAAUUAUUAAUUUUAACCAGCGGAACUAGUCCCCCAGCAAAACAAUCAUCAAACUCAAGUUUAACAAAAAAUUCUUGUGAAAAAGGAUGUCUAUUGACAACGACAUGGCAUUAGAAGUUUUUCUUCAAAUCUCAAGUAUAGAUUUGAUUGGUACAAAGAUUUACCACAUAUUAUGAAUAAAAAUAUUAUAAUCUUAAGUAUAUGAAAAAAAUAUGUGCGAAUGGGAAUAUGAUCUCUACUGUAUAUUAUGAAUAAAAAUAAAGAAAGAGAAAAUAAUAGCAAUUUUGAGCAAACAAAUAGAAACCUUGCCUUAUGCUAUUUAAAAUUAAUAGUAUUACGUCAUAAUUAAUUUGAGAAUUUGCUUUAAGUGGUCCAUAAAGUAAGUCCAAAAUGACUGAAUAAGACAAAAUUACAGAGACUUCUUUAACCAAUGAAACAAGUUGGUUGCUUCAAUAUUCCUCGUCAAUGAUUUUGGUGCCCAACUCCUUGAGUCCUCCUGGAAGGAUUUCAACAACAAUGCUACGCAAAACUGACAAUAAAAGAAAAUAAGAGGGGAAACGAAUGAAAACAACAAUGAAGAAAAAUAAGUACCAUCAAUGGUCUGCAGGAUACAACUUAAGCCUAUAGCUUGAGGCAAUCACUAUGCACAAUAAAACUCAAAUCACAUAUACAAGUGAAGAACUAAAAAUUGAAGAAGUUGGCUAUUAAACAUAUAAAUUUCAAUGAACAUAAUCAAUCAAAAUCUAAGCAUACUUACAACAAUUCUCUUCGUGAUUAUAUUGAUAUCAAUUUAACUCAUUUCUUCAUUCCGUAAUAUUUUUGCAAAUAAUCAAAAAUAAACUUUUUAGAGAGAUCUUUAAUAUUGAAAGGUAAUUAUUACAAGAUUUUAUUUACAAUUUACCUAGAUUUGAUAUUUCAAUGCUUUUUCUACUUGGAUUUAAAGGACAAAUACGCUUAUCAUGUCCAAGUUUGCCGCAUGAAUUGCACUUCCUCUUCUUCUUGCCAAGAGCCAACUCAAUACCACUUUUGAUUCUGCCAGUGUUGUUAACAUCUUUCUUCCGACCCUUGGUUUGUGAAAUAUUUGGAUCCAAAAGUAAUGGCUGAGAUGAACUAAUGCUAAAACAAGGAUCAUCUUUCUGUUGGCAAACAGUGGCUGGUUGGUUUGAAAUAUCUAACAACUUUUUUGCUAGCUCAUUUAUACCAUCCAUGUAAAUCAAGUAUGCCUCAUUUGAAGAUGCAACAGCACAUGCUAAUUUAGUAGUUUGGUGGCACAUAUGGCUUAGUCUCAAAGCCUCUAAUUCUUCUUUACCAUCAUUUUUCAAAAAAUCUCUCAAAUCAAUCUUUCUAAAUUUAUUUGCCUCUUGUCUCCAUCUUGGAAGAAUAAAAUGAUUCGGCAGCUUAUCAAUGUCUAAACGAACAAACACUUUCAGCAUAUGUCUGCAAAGUAUUCCAACGAACUCAAAUUUUUUACAAUCACAAGUACCCUCAUAAGUUUACGGAUUUAACUUCACCAUAAACUCUUCAGAUUCUCCAAACUUUGUUCUCACUAGGUACUUGAGAAAUUCAGCAUCACAUCCACUCUCUUCAACUUUGUAUCGAUUAACAUGGCUCCAUUCAUCCUUGAAUUUAUUAAAAACAUUUAUGGUAUACAAUUGGGAUGCAUGUUUCAAAAGAAAUUCUCCAUCAUUGACAAUUCGAUAUUUAUGUUAUGAUUCAAAAUCUUCAUCACUUUCUUUUUCAAUAAUCCUUUUCAACGCUCCUUCAUAUUUCACAACAAACUCUCUAAGAUUUGUCGAGGAUGUUACAAAACCAUUAAAGAAUGAAUUAAUGCCCUCACUCCGUCCUGUAGUAUUCAUUCCAGCAAAAACAAUACUACGAUUAUAAAUAGGUGCCCAAGAAGCUUGUAUUUCAUAUAGAUGAUUUAGCCAUUCAUUGUCUUCCAAUUUAUAUUCUAUAAUCAAACUCUUCGAAGUUUCUUCAAAUUCCUCUACUUUGUAAGUAGACAUAAUACAUUUUUUUCAAUCCGAUCUUGAAUCUUGACUUCUUGAAGUACACAUAUGACAACUUCUCGGCAAACUUCUUCUUAAUAUGCCAAAGGCAUAAUCGAUGGUGAGUAUUUGGAAAAACUGUCACAAUUGCUCUUUUCAUUGCCAAGUCUUGGUCAGUAAUGAUAGAAACUGGAGGAUGUCCUCCCAUAGCUUCAAGCCAUGUCUCAAAAAGUCACUGAAAUGUUACCUAUGUUUCAUCUUGUAGAAGUGCACAAUCGAAUUGUAUUAACUGUAAGUGGUGGUUCACUCUUGUGAAUGGUGCGAACGACAUAUCGUACUUGUUUGUUCUAUAAGUUGUGUCAAAUGAAACUACAUCCCCAAAACAGUGAUAUGCCAACCACGAUCGAGCAUCUACCCAAAAAAAUUUGGUUGCUUGCCCUUUUUCAUCACAUUGGAUUGCAUAAAAAAAUUUGAGGGUUCUCAGCUUGCUUUUUCCUGAAAUAUAUAAGGAUUGAUUGGGCAUCCCCUCCAUCCAAUUACCUAUGACACACAUUCCUUAAGUGAUUAUAGCAAUCUCUGUUGUUAAAGCCCAUUUACGAACCUCCUAGAAUUGAACAAACUUUUGCAAUAGGCAAAUUUUCUCUAUGAAAAGCUUCAGUCAAAUUCUUAGCAGCUUUAGGCAUGUGUUUGUUUGACUUCAUCUUUAUUCUUCUAGCAGGAGUAACUACUUUAUGAUUGUGAGAAUCCUUGAAAACCAUAAUCUUCCACUUAUUUGACCAUUUGUCAUACAUAACCCGCAUACUAGCUUCACACCCACAUUUGACAGUUGAACAAUUUCUACUUCUUUUUUUUUUUUUGUAUUUACCUCACUUGCAUCUUUUUCAUAGUGUUCUUCCAUAAAAUUAGGCUUAUUAAUCUUUGGCACAUGCUUCCCUUGAUGGGCAAAGUAAAUUGUCCACUAGUCACCUCAUUGCAGCCUACUCUACUCUUGGAAGAAGAUCGAGUUCGAAUCCAAAACCCCUCCUAUCUACCAUAAUCUUCAUAGUAGUUUCUAGCUUGCUCUAAUGUUUCAAAAAGCAUCCCCACAUAUGGUGCCUCUAAUUGUUCAAGAUUGUUUUCAACCUCUUCGCCAUUGUUCCCCUGUAAUGUGUCAAACAAUUGAAAGAAAAAUAAAUAAUAUAUAAAAAGAUAAAAAUAUUGAAAAAAUUACGAGUUAGAAAAGUUAGGUAAAAUUAAUUGUAAAAAAAAAUAAAUAAAUUAUAAAAGCAUGACACAUACCAAAUAUUCAUUAUUUUCAGGCAUUUUCACGAAGAGUUGUGGAGUUAAAAGUUGGAGAGAGUAAAAAAAUUUUGCUAGAGAGAGUUAAGACUUUUUAUGAUUGAGGAAGAAAGAAAAAAGCAAAUGAAAAGUCAUAGGUUAAAAAGAACAAGAGAAGAGAAGAGAGAACACAUCACGUGAAGGAAGGAAAAAAAUAAAAGAGUGAGAAAAUUUUAGGUGGGGAUUACAUGCAGAGAGAGAAUAUUAAAAGAUUUUAAAGAUUUAAUUUCAAUUAAUCUCAUCGAUUGAUUCAAUUCAAAUCUAAUGGAUAUCAAUUAGUGUAAAAUUAAGAGUAUUUUGAGGGGGCUGCUGAUCCAUCCCUAUAUAUAUAUAUAUAUAUAUAUAUUUUAUCAUGAUGUCUUUUAAUUAUUCAUUGAUUUGCAUGCUAGGACUACCACGUGAUGAGAGGGGAAGGGAAGGAGUCACGUUGCCCGAGGCAGCUAAACAACAUAUUCAAAACCUUCACGCAGAGAUACGAAAUCGUUACUUCUUUGUUGAGUGCCUGUGGAAACAACACAGCUUGGAUUAUGCUGCGAUCAAAUGCUGAAAAAGAUCAAAAUUGAUAGAGAAUUAGAAAAAGAUCUUCAGCCCAUUAUUGAAUUAGACUGUUAGCUCUCUCAAAUAGACUUGCUCACAUCGUUCCAACUGAAAAAUGGAGAGAACAUUGGGCUUAAUUUAAUGCCUGCAGGAGUACCACUAAAAGUUACCGAUGGCCUUUUCUCAUCUUAUACCAUGGAAUUGUGUCAUUAGAAAAGAAUUGACUAGAUACUUGGCAUAUCUCCAGUGGGUAUUAAAUGUUCGCAUAUUCCACAUUUUAGGAUUCUAUACCGAUCUGACCUACUACAAUUAUGUAAUUAUGUGUUAUUAUAUGAAAUAAAAUAAUGUAAAUCUUGACUGUAUAUAAAUAAAAAUACACAUAUAUCAGAAGAUUCUUCAAAACCCAGAUAAGUUCAAAUUAAAAGAGGAUUUAAUACCAUCUCACAUUACCUUUUUUCUUGAAACCUUAUUUUCUCUACACGUCUGUCUUUCGUUUUUAUUUCGAGAUAUCAAACAGGCAACUGUAUCAAUUGUGGGUAGCUGAAGGUUUCAGUUCAAACAAUAAUGAGUCAACUGCUGAGAAGUUCUUGGAACAACUUGUAACGCCACAAAUUCCCAUACAUAUUAAAUUAUGGAAAUUGGGCUUUCAUUGAGAAUUAUGGGUGGCCUAUAACCCUUAUUUAGAAAGGGGUACUAAUUAAAUAGAGGUUAUUUAUGAGAUCAUUUUGGAAAAGGGCUAGUUUUCCUUAUUGAAUAGGGUUUCUUAAGAUCCCCUAUAAAUACAUACUUUUCCCCCUUCCAUAACCCUAAGUUCACAACGUUUAUCCUUCUUCUCUGCUGCUCUUUACGCUCCUACCCAAAUCUUAGGAUUCAAACCUUUGUUUAGGAGAGACUCAAAGCGACGGGUAAGUUCACAACGUUUAUUCUGAACAGCAUGAGUAUCUCGAAUUUUUAAAGCUAUAUUUUCUGAACGAAUUUUCUUAUAAAAUUUAUAUUUCUGGAAACUAGACAUGUAGGGCUUCUUGAUUAAAUUUUAUUUCAUUAAAUUCAACUUCGUUUUCAAUUUUAUACGUAUUUUGGAAAUAGAAACCACUGCACUGGAAAUCCACGAUUCCAGUAUUGUGAUCAGAUUCAAAAGACUAUUUGUACCACCAAAUGAACUCAAAAAAUUCUGAAAGUUUAUAUGUAUGUUAAUAUAUGUGUCUAGGAUUCGCAGUUUUAAUUUCAUAAUUUUCUGAUUAGUAUUUUAUUUUAUAAAAAUCACGGAACCCAUUCUGUUUGGUUUAGAUUAUGUGAAAACAGUUUCGAAUUUGCUGAGAAGUAAAUAGUUUUUAAAAUGUUUUUGAUAUCGGAUUCUCUUGUAAAUUUUACAUGGGGUACUCAUGGAUGUCCAGAAUGGUUCCAUAGGAUUUUAUAUCAUUCUGAGACUUGGAUUAAGAGUUAAAAUUCUGAGAAUCAGACCUGUACGGGUAUGAAUUAGAAAAUCAAAUUCUUAGAAUACGUUAUUGAUUGUCAUAUCUUGUAUUUGUUUAAGGUUUUGAAGGUGUUUGAGGCUCUUAGAAGCUUAGAGGUGUGUUAAUCCAAGUUCAUUUGUCGAGGUAAGUAACUUCAUUCCUAGUAUACUGGAUAUGUAUAAGUAUUUUGAUAUUAUUGUUAUAAGUAUAAAUGUUUUUAUACUACUUAAAGGAUUAAUUGAUUUUGAUAACAAAAUUAGCUUUAUGUAAAUGUUUUCAAACCAUUCUUUUUAACAAAGUAUUUUAUAAAUGCUUUUUAAUAUGUAAAUGAUUUUAUGACAUGACAACCUUUUAUGAUUUUAUCUUUAAAAUGUUAUGCAAGCCUAAAUUAUUGUUAUGAACUUUUAUGAAACUGAUAUGAAUGUUUUGUACCUAUGUUUGAUUUCAAUUAUUGAUGAUUGUAUGAGAUUCUUAAUGCUUUGGCUCAUUGUCCAUAGUUAGUCUGAUUCUGAUUCUGAUUCUGAUCGUAAUAUACGAUAUAUCCGUCUGGACCAGUACUGGGUUUUUGUUCUGAAUGUACACACGAUAUUCUAAUUAUGUUUCUGGCCGGGUCACCGGGACUAUAGGUGACACUAUGUGACAUGAGCUAACCUGUUUGUUUUCUGUAUACGUAUUACAUGAGUUGAUUCGUAAGUAAAUAUGCUUUUGAAUAUUCUGAAUUAUUAAGAAUUUAUCUUAUGUUAUUGUGAUAUAUCGUUUUAUGAAAAUUAUGGAUUAUGAUAUAUGCUUUAAACAAAAGAAGGCUUGCAAUAUUUUUGGUAUCAAUAGGCCUAGUGUGUUAGGAAUGGUUUUACUUACCGAGUUGACGGCUCACCCCUCGUCAUUACUUUUUUGCAGAUUAAGUUUCUUUUGAGAGGUGCACUUAGCUUUGGAGUUAAUGAUUUCCAGUUUCCGUUUGCUAUUGAAUAAGAGGAGGAAUAGACUUGUGUUUCUAUUUAGUUACUUUUAUUAUGAACGUGUAAUUUGGAGUUUGAGACUUUUGUUAUUAUUUUUAUAUGUCCUCGAGAGAGAUUAUUUAGUAUUUGACGUUUGGAUUUAUGGAUUUAUUUGAAUAAGAAUUGGAGGAAUUUCAGUUUGAAACUUAUGAGUAAAGAUUAUGAUUUGUGAGUAACCUCCUUCUUCACGUGCUCCGCACGUGUUAGAUUUGGGGUGUUACAAUUGUGGUAUCAGAGCAACUAGGUUAGGAUUCUGUAGACUUUCUUUUACGGUUUAAUUAGAUUGUCUAAUUAAAUCGAUUACAUUUGUUUUGUAGACAUGAAGAAGGACAAUAUGGGUAUGAAAAGUGUCAAGAAUAAGGGAUGGACAGAAAUUGAUAGGACCGAACAAUUUAUCUUAGGAGGAGUUCUUGUCAAAGAUCUUAGGAGACUUCAUAAGCAGUGAAUGGAUGAUAGACUAAGACGGACUAUAGAGGUCUACAUCGAUACUCCUCCAGGACCUGGAGCUUCAAGAAAGAAGCUCAAUGAGGCUAUACGUGGACUACGUGUUUAUGGCAAGGGAGCUAACAAGAAUAAGCUUGUAAUACGUCGCCUAUUUUGGACAGGACCUCGAUUUAAGCCUUACUAUAGCAAAGGAUGGGUAUCUCCAGGUCUAAAUAAACUACCUUAUAGAACUCCUAAGGAAAUCGAGACAGAUGGAGUCACGACUAAGGAAAGGAAAGUAAAGAUAGAUCCUUUUCCUAUCCGGUUGAGUACACCUAUGAACUUUGUGGCUGUAGGACAUGAAACUCUGUAGACUUUAUUAAGGUUAAUAGAGUGAUUAAAUAUUUUAAGGCAAGGAGUAACUAGUAAUUCUAUUUUGGUCUUUUUGGCUUUCUAUGUUGCUUGUGACUUUGUAAUAACUCUUGUUAUAUGAUCUUUGGUAUUAACGUAGAAUGAAAUAUUUAUUGCUCUUGUUUACAAUAUCAAAUUUUCUUAGCUACACUACUUAUUCAGUACUCUGCGCGCUUGCACGACCUUUAGCUAUGAAUUAUUUACCCCUUUUUAAUUAUUUAUUUAUUCUCCGUGUUAUAGUCAAGAGAUGUCACGUAAGGGAGGUGCUAGGCAUGCCUCUAGCUCGAGAGAUGUUUUAGGUAUCGCUGACGACGCUGACCCAACCUUGCACGAGAUGGCUAACGAAGGAAAUCCUAUGAUGCGCGCAAUGCUUAGAUUGAUGGAACAACAAAGUAAGUUAAUUCAAGAUAUGGCUAGAGGCAGAGUUGGGGCACAAGAGAAUGUGCCAGUUGAAAGGCAAGGUGGCGCAAGAGAUCAUGGGGCUAUGGUGAACUUAGAACGAUUUAAGAAAUUGGGACCACCUACCUUUCAGGGGACUGCCGAUUCCAUGGUUGCAGAGGCAUGGCUAAAACAGAUGGAGAAGAUAUUUGUGGCUAUGGGUUGUAAUGAUGAUCAAAGGGUAAUAUUAGCCUCAUUUGUCCUUCAGGGUGAGGCAGACCACUGGUGGGAUGCCAAAUCUCGUCUCAUAAGGGCUGGCUUGCAAGAUGCACCCAUUACUUGGGAGUUAUUUUUGGAGGCUUUUCAUGAAAAGUAUUUUCCUGAACGAGUUCGACAUCAGAUGGAGGCUGAUUUCUUGAGGUUAACUCAAGGAACAAAGUCUGUUGCGGAGUAUGAGGAACAAUUUACUGCCCUCUCUCGUUUUGCUCAUACCUUGGUUGCUAAUGAAGGUAGUAAGUGUAGGAAGUUCCUGGAAGGGUUACGUCCUAACAUUAAAGGGCGAUUGACCAUCCUUAAGAUUAACAAUUAUGCCGAUUUGGUGGACCGAGCAAUUCUUGCGGAGAAGGAUAUUCUUGAAGCCCAAGUUACAAAGGAUCAGAGAAAUAAGAAGAAUCAACAAGGUGGACCGCGAAAUGGAAGUUCCUUUAGGCAGGGCACUCACUCCCAGAAGUAUAAUGGUGGAGGUAACAAAUGGGAUAACAAGGGUGUUACUGGUGACACCGCUCGGAGGAACUACCCCAUUUGUCGACAUUGUGAAAGGAGGCACCCUGGUGAAUGCCAUUGGAAAACUGGAGCUUGUUUUGCUUGUGGAGAAUCUGGGCAUAGGAUUAUGGAUUGCCCAAAGAGACGUAGCGAGACUACAAAUACUCAGACUAACGAAGGGCAGAGGAAGAAACCGAGGGUACAAGGGCGUGUUUUUGCACUAACAGAAAAAGAUGCUGAGGUGUCCAAUGAUGUAGUAUCAGGUACAUUGUCUUUAUUCUCUAGAGAAGCCAAAGUUCUUUUUGAUCCUGGUGCUACACAUUCAUUUGUAUCUUGUGUGUUUGCCCGUUAUGCUAAUGUGCCUAUCACACCACUGGAUGUUCACGUGACAAUUAGUACCCCUAUGGGGGAUUGCUAGUUUAUAGAUCAUGUCUAUAAGUCAUGUGUGAUCAGAUUGUGUGAUAAAGAAUUCCUUGUGGAUCUCCUACCUUUAGAGAUGCACGAUUUUGAUUUGAUUUUGGGGAUGGAUUGGUUAGGACCUUACCAUGUUUCAAUAGAUUGUUUUGCUAAUUAAAUUAUUUUUCGCCUACCUGGCGAGGAAAAAUUUCAUUUUCAAGGGAAUCAUAAGAGUCAUAAAGCUUUGAUUUCUAUGGUUAAGGCAAUGAAAAUGCUAAAGAAGGGGUGUGAAGGAUUUUUAGCGUAUAUAGUUGCUGACCAUCCCGAUGGGGCGUGCCUUGAAGACAUACCUAUUGUAAGGGAGUUUAUUGAUGUAUUUCCUGAAGAUCUUCCGGGACUACCCCCAGAUCGAGAGGUUGAGUUUACUAUAGAAUUAGUUCCUGGUACUACACCUAUAUCCAAGGCACCAUAUCGGAUGGCACCCAUUGAAUUAAAAGAACUAAAGGUCCAGCUACAAGAAUUACUAGAUAAGGGUUUCAUUCGUCCUAGUGUGUCGCCUUGGGGUGCUCCCGUUUUGUUCGUAAAGAAGAAAGAUGGUUCAAUGAGGUUGUGUAUAGACUACCGGCAGUUGAAUAUGGUUACCGUCAAGAAUAAAUACCCUCUUCCCCGAAUUGAUGACCUCUUUGAUCAAUUACGAGGUGCAGCGGUAUUCUCUAAAAUUGAUUUACGAUCUGGCUACCAUCAAUUGAAAAUAAGAAGUGAGGAUGUAUCGAAGACAGCUUUUCGAACUCGUUAUGGACACUAUGAGUUCUUAGUUAUGCCUUUUGGAUUAACUAAUGCUCCUGCAGUGUUCAUGGAUUUGAUGAAUAGGAUCUUCCAACCUUAUCUUGACCAGUUUGUCAUCGUCUUUAUUGAUGACAUAUUAAUUUACUCUAAGAGUAAGAAGGAGCAUGAGUCGCACCUGAGGAUUGUAUUAGAAACAUUGCGGAAGAAGAAGUUGUAUGGAAAAUUUAAGAAAUGUGAGUUUUGGCUUGAUCGUGUGAUGUUUUUGGGACAUAUAGUGACGAAGGAUGGUAUUUCAGCAGAUCCAGCCAAAGUGGAGGUAAUUGUGAAUUGGGAAAGGCCUGCUAGUGUGACUGAAGUAAGGAGUUUCUUAGGAUUGGCAGGUUAUUAUAGGCGCUUUGUCAAAGGAUUUUCUAGCAUAGCAGCACCAUUGACUAAUUUGACUAAGAAGAAUGUGAAGUUCAAUUGGGAUGAGGCAUGUGAAAAGAGCUUUUAAGAGCUCAAGAGUCAUUUGGUGACUGCCCCCGUUUUAACUCUCCCUUCUGAAGGUGGAGGUUUUGUGAUUUACAGUGAUGCUUCCAGAAAAGGUUUGGGUUGCGUUUUAAUGCAACAUGGUAAGGUUAUAGCAUAUGCUUCUAGGCAGCUAAAGAAUCAUGAACAAAACUACCCAACACAUGAUUUGGAAUUGGCUGCUAUAAUGUUUGCUCUAAAAAUCUGGAGACACUAUUUGUAUGGGGAGACUUGUGAGAUCUUCACCGAUCAUAAGAGUUUGAAGUACUUGUUUACUCAAAAGGAAUUGAAUUUGAGGCAAAGAAGAUGGUUGGAGUUGGUAAAGGAUUUUGAUUGUUCUAUUAAUUACCAUCCAGGUAAGGCAAACGUAGUAGCGGAUGUCUUGAGUAGGAAAUCAUCUGGGUGCAUGGCUCAUCUUAUCACCAUGCAAUCUCAUUUGGUAAAAGACUUGAGGAGAUGUGGGAUUGAGGUAGUUACUCAUGGGCAAGCAGACGUGUUAGCACAUUUGACAGUCCAACCCACUCUAAUUGAUAGAGUUAAGGUAGCUCAGAAGAACGACAUAGAACUCAAUAAAAUCCGUGAAGAUGUGAGCAAAGGACAUAAGCCCGGAUUUAGACUUGAUAAUGGGGAUGGAUUAUGUUUGGGACAAAGGUUAUGCGUGCCAGCAGACGAAGAGUUGAAGGCGGAGAUCUUAAGAGAAGCUCAUGAAUCAUCUUACAGUAUGCAUCCUGGUAGUACUAAGAUGUAUCGUGAUCUAAAGCAAAGUUUUUGGUGGAGGAAUAUGAAGAGAGAUAUUGCUGCUUUUGUGUCUCGGUGUUUAGUCUGCCAACAAGUAAAGAUUGAGCAUUAAAGACCAGCAGGAACUUUACAAACGCUUCCUAUUCCUCAGUGGAAAUGGGAACACAUAACAAUGGAUUUCGUUUCUGGAUUACCUCGUUCUAGGAGGGGAUGUGAUUGCAUUUGGGUAAUUGUUGAUCGAUUGACGAAAUCAGCUCAUUUCUUGGCAAGGAAGAGUACAGACAAUGUAGGGCAACUAGCUAAGUUGUUCAUUAAGGAGAUAGUGAGGCUUCAUGGGGUUCCAGUGUCAAUAGUGUCUGAUAGAGAUCCACUGUUCACUUCAAGAUUUUGGGCUAGCUUACAUAAAGAGUUGGGGACGAAAUUGAGAUUUAGCACUGCUUUUCAUCCACAGACAGAUGGGCAAUCCGAAAGGACUAUUCAAACCCUUGAGGAUAUGCUUCGAGCUUGCGUCCUAGACUUGAGUGGUGGUUGGGAAGAGCACCUAAUGUUGAUCGAAUUUGCUUAUAACAAUAGCUUCCAUUCGAGUAUUGGCAUGGCACCAUUUGAGGCAUUAUAUGGAAGAAAGUGUAGGUCCCCAAUCUGCUGGGAUGAAGUUGGUGAAAGAAAACUUUUGGGUCCAGAAUUAAUACAGAUUACUGUUGAUAAAAUCAAGUUGAUUAGAGGACGUCUUCAAACAGCUCAGAGCAGACAGAAGAGUUAUGCAGAUCGUCGUAGACGUGAGUUGGAAUUCGAAAAAGGAGAUUUUGUUUUCUUGAAAGUAUCGCCAUGGAAAGGGGUGUUUCGGUUCGGGAAGACAGGAAAGCUUAGCCCUAGAUUUAUUGGACCAUUUGAGAUUUUAGAGAGAAUUGGUCCGGUGGCCUAUCGCAUAGCUUUACCACCAAGUCUGUCUAGGCUUCACAAUGUAUUUCAUGUGUCUGUGUUAAGAAAGUACAUUGCAGACCCUUUACAUGUGCUAGACUAUCAACCGAUUCAGAUAAAUGAAGACAUGUCGUAUGAGGAACAGCCUAUUGAGAUUGUCGAUCGAGACGAACAAGUAUUAAGGAAUAGAGUUAUUCCCCUAGUGAAGGUACGAUGGAUGAAUCAUUCUAUUGAGGAAGCCACUUGGGAGAGAAGCAGAAAUGUUGGAGAAGUAUCCUCAACUCUUCCAUGCAUAAGGUAACCUUUUAAUUUCGAGGACGAAAUUUUUGUUAGGAGGGGAGAAAUUGUAACGCCACAAAUUCCCAUACAUAUUAAAUUAUGGAAAUUGGGCUUUCAUUGAGAAUUAUGGGUGGCCUAUAACCCUUAUUUAGAAAGGGGUACUAAUUAAAUAGAGGUUAUUUAUGAGAUCAUUUUGGAAAAGGGCUAUUUUUCCUUAUUGAAUAGGGUUUCUUAAGAUCCCCUAUAAAUACAUACUUUUCCCCCUUCCAUAACCCUAAGUUCACAACGUUUAUCCUUCUUCUCUGCUGCUCUUUACGCUCCUACCCAAAUCUUAGGAUUCAAACCUUUGUUUAGGAGAGACUCAAAGCGACGGGUAAGUUCACAACGUUUAUUCUGAACAGCAUGAGUAUCUCGAAUUUUUAAAGCUAUAUUUUCUGAACGAAUUUUCUUAUAAAAUUUAUAUUUCUGGAAACUAGACAUGUAGGGCUUCUUGAUUAAAUUUUAUUUCAUUAAAUUCAACUUCGUUUUCAAUUUUAUACGUAUUUUGGAAAUAGAAACCACUGCACUGGAAAUCCACGAUUCCAGUAUUGUGAUCAGAUUCAAAAGACUAUUUGUACCACCAAAUGAACUCAAAAAAUUCUGAAAGUUUAUAUGUAUGUUAAUAUAUGUGUCUAGGAUUCGCAGUUUUAAUUUCAUAAUUUUCUGAUUAGUAUUUUAUUUUAUAAAAAUCACGGAACCCAUUCUGUUUGGUUUAGAUUAUGUGAAAACAGUUUCGAAUUUGCUGAGAAGUAAAUAGUUUUUAAAAUGUUUUUGAUAUCGGAUUCUCUUGUAAAUUUUACAUGGGGUACUCAUGGAUGUCCAGAAUGGUUCCAUAGGAUUUUAUAUCAUUCUGAGACUUGGAUUAAGAGUUAAAAUUCUGAGAAUCAGACCUGUACGGGUAUGAAUUAGAAAAUCAAAUUCUUAGAAUACGUUAUUGAUUGUCAUAUCUUGUAUUUGUUUAAGGUUUUGAAGGUGUUUGAGGCUCUUAGAAGCUUAGAGGUGUGUUAAUCCAAGUUCAUUUGUCGAGGUAAGUAACUUCAUUCCUAGUAUACUGGAUAUGUAUAAGUAUUUUGAUAUUAUUGUUAUAAGUAUAAAUGUUUUUAUACUACUUAAAGGAUUAAUUGAUUUUGAUAACAAAAUUAGCUUUAUGUAAAUGUUUUCAAACCAUUCUUUUUAACAAAGUAUUUUAUAAAUGCUUUUUAAUAUGUAAAUGAUUUUAUGACAUGACAACCUUUUAUGAUUUUAUCUUUAAAAUGUUAUGCAAGCCUAAAUUAUUGUUAUGAACUUUUAUGAAACUGAUACGAAUGUUUUGUACCUAUGUUUGAUUUCAAUUAUUGAUGAUUGUAUGAGAUUCUUAAUGCUUUGGCUCAUUGUCCAUAGUUAGUCUGAUUCUGAUUCUGAUUCUGAUCGUAAUAUACGAUAUAUCCGUCUGGACCAGUACUGGGUUUCUGUUCUGAAUGUACACACGAUAUUCUGAUUAUGUUUCUGGCCGGGUCACCGGGACUAUAGGUGACACUAUGUGACAUGAGCUAACCUGUUUGUUUUCUGUAUACGUAUUACAUGAGUUGAUUCGUAAGUAAAUAUGCUUUUGAAUAUUCUGAAUUAUUAAGAAUUUAUCUUAUGUUAUUGUGAUAUAUCGUUUUAUGAAAAUUAUGGAUUAUGAUAUAUGCUUUAAACAAAAGAAGGCUUGCAAUAUUUUUGGUAUCAAUAGGCCUAGUGUGUUAGGAAUGAUUUUACUUACCGAGUUGACGGCUCACCCCUCGUCAUUACUUUUUUGCAGAUUAAGUUUCUUUUGAGAGGUGCACUUAGCUUUGGAGUUAAUGAUUUCCAGUUUCCGUUUGCUAUUGAAUAAGAGGAGGAAUAGACUUGUGUUUCUAUUUAGUUACUUUUAUUAUGAACGUGUAAUUUGGAGUUUGAGACUUUUGUUAUUAUUUUUAUAUGUCCUCGAGAGAGAUUAUUUAGUAUUUGACGUUUGGAUUUAUGGAUUUAUUUGAAUAAGAAUUGGAGGAAUUUCAGUUUGAAACUUAUGAGUAAAGAUUAUGAUUUGUGAGUAACCUCCUUCUUCACGUGCUCCGCACGUGUUAGAUUUGGGGUGUUACACCACCCGUUUUUGUGGCCUUUUCCCGCUGGACGAACUUGGCGCCCCGGCCUUCAGGCACUUGCUCAAUUCCUUCUCUGCAAAUUUGAACGCUUGAACACGCACCGUCAUCCCAGUUCCUUGCAGUCGUCUCGAAGCCCCUGCUUUCAGUAGAGGAAAGACGAUUCUGUAUAGCCAUCAAACAGAUAAGAAAAUUUGAAACAAUCCAAGGUUUCUCAGAUCAAAUGAAACCCCAAGAUCAAUCAAGACCAAUGGAUGAUCUUGUACUUAGCUCUAAAACAAACAAGUAAAACCAUCGAAGAAAUUGGAUCAAAACCAGCAGGUUUAGAUUGAUUAUUUAUAAACAUCAUACUUGCCACACUCUUGGCGUGUAAAUCCUUAGAUUCACAGGUCUUAUAUCACAUGAAUGAAGAUGCUAGUGGUGUGCCUCCAUGGAUCUCUUAGUUUUCAAGUUGUUUUAUUUGACUGACCACCUAAGUUUGAAUCGUGGUGAGGGAAGAAGAUAAAAAUUAAUUUGAUCUUUGCACCUCACUACUUUUAAAAGAGCUCAAACUUCAGACUCAGUUUUGAAUUUUAAUUAUUUUAAAUUGAAACGCUAAUUCCAUAUAUUAUAUAUAUGAGUUUUUUUUCCCAAGGUUGAAUUAAAAUAUAUAUUUACAAAAUUCUCGAGAUAUGUGAUUUUUCAAGAUUUAAUAGAAUCAUAAGUACUAGUUAUAUAUACAUCUUAAUAAAUGUUUGCCAGACCUUUAUUUGUACUAAAAUUAUAUAUAUAUCUAGACUCCCAUUACACUUUAGAUUGUAACAAUUUAAAUAAAAAUAUUUUUUUUGGUGGAAGUCGUCUAGAAUUCUAAGAUUGAAAGUCAAAUUUCAAUAAAAAAAAAAUUAAUUUAAUAUAUAUAUAUAUAUAGAGAGAGAGAGAGAGAGAGAGAGAGAGAGAGCUUCUUAAGUGCAUAUACUUAAGGGAGUCCCUAUGUUACAUUUAAUGUACCAUACACAACCCACAAGAACCACAUAAAUUGUGGGAUCCACAUAAUUGUGUGGUUCUUGUGGGUUGUGUAUGGUACAUUAAAUGUACAUUAAUAUUAUGUGGUGUUAUAGCGAAUCUACACAAAAUCUGCAUUUAGUGCAUCCACACUUGAGAAUUUCUAUAUAUCAAAACUUUCAAAUGCAGAAGUCCAAAUAUAGAUUUCGUGCGGAUUCACUACAAAAUCAUAUGAUGUUAACAUGUUUUUACAAUUGACUAUAAUACCACAUGAUGUUAACAUGUUUUUACAAUUGACUAUAAUACCACAUGAUGUUAUAGAAAAUCCACACGAAAUCUAUAUUAUAUAAAGAGAGAGAUCUCGCUUUGCUUUAUAAUUGCGGUGAUAUUCCCACCCCUCAAAUGUUGUAAACUUACCUCACCUUAAAAAAUUAAAUCAUAAAAAAUUCACAUUAUUUUUAACGAUUUCAAAUUAGUAAGAAUAAAAUUAAGCAAUUGACUAAUUAAAUCCUCAUUAAAUAAUUAAAAUACAUUUAUGAUAUGAUAUUUCAAAAAAUUUAUGCUAUUUUUCUCAUGAAAUUUAUUAAAUAUAAGAAGGAUCUGAUUGAUUAAUUGUUUAAAAUUUUAUUUAUUUUAAAUUAAAAAAUGUGAAUUAUUUUUUAAAUAAUUCUUUGAAAUGAUUUAAAUGCGGCACGUGUCCCAUCAAGUUAAAACCUAAAGUUGAUUUAAAAACGGAAACCAAGUAGCGAGGCCCCGUUCUUCAGGAAAUUCCGAGCUAAGUUAAUCAACAUUUCCACUAAUUAUUUUUAUUUUCUUCCAAAGUUUAUUUAAUUAGAUCAAUUUCUGGCUUCCUACUUAAAUUGCAUAUCCAAUUUGGGGGUUGAUUUUUGGAGAUGGAGAUAAACUGAAACAUUAAUUGAAAUCGAUUGAGAAAAAAAAAAUCGAUUGAGAUUGAAAGUUCUUUAUUACCCAACAUACAGAAUACAUAUGCAAUUAAUUCAAAUUUCUAAAAUUACUGUAAUUGUUGGCAAUGUGGGUUUUUUUUUUCGUUGGGGGGGGGGGUGUCUGAAAUUUGCAUGCAUGCCUUAAUUGAGUUUUAUCACUUUAAAUCCUAAUUACUAAUGUUUUUUCUGUUAAUGGUUGAAAAUAAGAUAAGAAGAGAGAAGGUGAACUUGAAGAAGUAUAAGAAGACAAGACAUGUAAUGAUGUUGAUGUGUUUAUGUGAAUAAAGAGAACAACGGAGGUGGAACCAUUGGACAAAUGGAAAUGGAAUCUUUGUCCAAGUUUUUCCCUUGAUGUUCUAAAGUUUGCAUAUAUAUGUUUCAAGAAACAAAUGGAAAUUAAAUAGUACUUAAAGGUGAACUCACAUCGUCAACUAGAGGUUACACUACCAUUUGCCCAAUGGUUCCAUUUCUAUUAUCAUUUUCUUUAUUCACAGAAAUAUCAUCGGCCUCAUAUUCAUCAGUAUAAGAAGAGGGACAAGGACAAGGACAAGGACAGGGUGAGUCUAUUGUAAGACUACAGCAAAUCUACAAUUUAGUUUUAUUUUUGCUGCUACACCCAGGAAUCACUAGCAUCAACCACCUCCUUUAUUGCCCUUGAUUCAUUUUUCUCCUGAAGAUUGUUGACCUGAUGAAAUAACACUUAAAAUGAGGCUGCCUUAGACGAAGCAUAUAUGUUAAUCACCUGUUGUAAUCUCAUGCCAAAACAUUUCAGUUCCUGCUCAUAAAAUUAGUUACUUCAACCUUUGUCAUAUGUAUUCUCCACUGCUUCAAGAUACUUAGAUAGUGAAUGUGUCUAAAGUCCAACUCAAAAGAUUCAUUUGAGAAAAAAUUCUUCAGAUGGUCAUGUAGAGUUCUAAUUUAUCUCCGCAUCAUACACAAAAUACUUGAAACCUACACAUCAAUGAUCAAUGUUCAUCUUUUAUUGACAAUCCCAAUUCUCAAGUGUGUUUGGAAAGAAAUUAGAUUCACAGGCAUUCUAGAAAUAUCUGGUGUAUGUCAAUGACAAUGAUGCCAAGUCAUGUCUCAUGGCGUCCAAAAAAAAAAAAUGGUGAUGUAUGUGGAGGAAGAUCGUCAGCUCAAUUAAAACUACACCUCGGUCAUUUCUGGACUCGUCAACAAGAGGUAAUUUCUUACUUUGUGAACAAAUUUUGUGUCUUAUAAUUUUUUCCGUAUUUAUAUACUUACAUGCUGUUUUGUAAUUAUAUAGCCACCAAAGCCUGGACAUGGAGAUGUGUGUUUUGUUAUGUUUAGUCCAUUUAUAAGAUCACGUGUCAUGUGAUUUAUAAGUCUACUUAAUGGUUGCAAUCAAAUGAGUUCAUGUCCAGAUUUUGAAGUUAGUUAAUUUCAACAUAUAGCAAUGAUUGUAUCCAUUGCUUUUAUGAAGUUGCUAUGUUAUUGCUUCUUUAAUAAGUGGCAGGCAUGAUUUUCUAUUUUUCCACAGCUUAAAUUGUUAAAUAAUUGAUAAUGCUCUUGUGCUUACUCUGUUCUUUUCUUUUUAGAUAAGCUUUAUGGUCCCAGUGGAAUUGUUUUCACCCUUUCUUUAUUGACAGUGGAUGUAUAAAACAAAUUGGUCUUGAUUGAUACUUGAUGAUGUUGUAGUUAUUUCUCUUUGCUUUAUUCUUUUUGCAACAUAUGGAAGACUGAGUAUCGUGAGAUUCAUUUCCCGCACUGCUCUGCCUUGAUCUGUUCUAAUUUGAGAGUCAGCAAUCUUGAUUCAACUUCUUGGGUGGAGUACUAGCUAAGAGAAGGGAGGCAUGGGAGCCAGCACUAAUUUUUGAAUUGAGGAGAUAUGGGCAUCAACUUCAGACUAUUUUCAGAGAGGCUGAGAAGGGCGUUAGCUGGCGAAGAAGUCACAUUGCCUGAUGCUGCAAAACAACCUAUUCAGAACCUUUGUGCCGAGGUUGAAAUCGUUACUCCUUGGCUGAGGGACUUUGAAUAUGAUAUGUCCUGGCUUCUGUUGCAAAAAAAUAGGAGAAGAUGAAAUUGACAACCCAGACCUUGGGACCAGAAAUCAAUUGCUUUACAUAUGAAUCUGAGAAGGUCAUUGACACAUUCUCAACAGCAUCACUCAACAGAAGAGUCAAAGCAGGUGCAACAAGGACAUUUGUAAUGCUCUGCUAGGACUCCAGAGCAUAAUCAAUGAUAUAAAACAGCGGGUGCAACAACUUCAGUACAUCGUUUCCGGAAUCAUUGAUGAUUUCAAAAGUAUUGAAGAUGAAGCCGAUUAUUUUCCUGCAUCAUCAUCUUAUAAGAAUAGGGGCAUGGUGGGUCUAGAAGACAGAAUGGAGGAGUUGUUAGAUAUAUUGAUAGAGGGACCACCUCAGCUUUCAGUGGUGGCCAUCUUGAUAGCAUUGGGUUGGGCAAGGUGGCUUUCGCUGUAGAGGCUUACAGCAGCAGUGAUGUGAAGCAUUAUUUUAAUUGUCACACUUGGGUUCCAGAGCCUUACAGCUAUGAUGCUGAUGAUGACCAAAUAUUAGAUAUCAUUAUUAAGUUUCUAAUGCCUUCAUCUAGGUUGAGUGUAAUAAAGGAUAAAAUUUAUGAAAUGAAAAAAAAAUCUUCAUGAAUAUCUAAUGAUAAAGCGGCAUUUAAUUGUGGUUGAUGAUGUGUGGAGAAUUGAAGUGUGGGAUUUUAUUCGAGAAAUACUUCCGGAUAAUCGGAAUGGAAAUGGGGUACUAAUAACACUCAUUCAAAUUGAUGUCGUCAUCUCAUUUCAGUUCAAAAUCGGACAGAAUAUUUGGCUUGAUUUAUUGUCCACUAGAGGACCAUUGAGAGUUGUUUACCUUUUUGCUUAAAACUUUGUUUUUCUUACUUAUCUGUGUUUCCUGUACAACUGGAGGCAUCCACCAGGUAGUUUUAUCAGUUGUGGAUAUCUGAAGGUUUCAUUCCAGACAAUAGCGAGGCAACUACUGAGAAGUACUUGGAACAACUAAUGAAUAGAGUCUUUGUUGAUGCAAGGAAGAGAAGCGAUGGAGGCAGAAUCAACGCAUGCCCUAUUCGUACUCGUUGCUGGCCUUCAUUGUUGCAAAUGGCUCUCAAAGCAGAAUUUAUCUUUUCCCCUAUCCUGGAUCAAAAAGGUAAAUCAGAAAAAAAUGUCAAACGUGUCUAUGUUUUUUUUUUAAAACAGAGUGAUUUUGCUUACUUAGAUGAUUGUGACUUGCACCUGCAUUCUUUGUUGUACUUCAGAAAGCGACCACCUUGACCCCAUAGAUUGGGUGAAAAUCGGUUGAGUAAUGGACUUGGGAUCUCUUGUUCUCAGCCAAUUUCCAUCCAAAAUUGAAACUUUAUUUCUUUUGAUAUUUGAAGCUGGAUAUCCCUUCCCUCACAAGCCUGGCUUCAUCAUUAUUAAUAAAUCUCUGAAUCUGUACCCCAUAGCCAUGCCCUUUAGCUACAUAGUGUAAAUAUUUAGAGUCUGAAAAUACUAUUUUCUUCUUUCAUUCAUUCUACAAGUUACACUUAAAUAGAAUGUAGAAAACAAACUCCUAAUAGAUAUCCCUUAAUUGUAGGAUACUUAUCUAAGCUUGAAUUUUAAAAAAUGAUUAUCUAAAACUUUAUUUCGAUAAGACUUUAAAACUAAACUAAUUAUCUAAAACUUUAUUCUGAUAAGACUUUCAAACUAACUGAAAAAUCCUAACUUCUUAACACUCCCCCUCAAGUUGGUGCGUAGAUGUCAAUCAUUCCCAACUUGCUGACAAGAUGUCCAAAGUUAGUUUUGAGGAGUCCCUUGGUUAGGAUAUCAGCUAUUUAUUGUUUUGUUGGAAAAAAUAAUAGGCAGAUAAUCUUAUUCUCAAGUUUCUCCUUGAUGAAGUGACGGUCAAUUUCAACAUGCUUGGUCCUAUCAUGUUGUACUGGGUUAUGUGCAAUGUUGAUUGCUGCUUUGUUGUCGCAGUAUAACCUCAUAGGUAAAACUAUAGGUCUUUUCAAAUCCUCGAGAACUUGUUUCAGCCACAAUACUUCACAAAGCCCAUGUGCCAUAGCUCUAAAUUCAGCUUCAGCAGUACUUCGUGCAACCACAUUUUGUUUCUUACUCCUCCAAGUCACUAAAUUACCCUAUACAAAAGUGCAAUAGCCAGUAGUAGACUUCCUGUCUGUAACUGAACCUGCCCAAUCAGCAUCAGUGUAUACCUCAAUACCUCUCUAUUCUCUGUUUUUCUAAACAAAAGUCCCUUUCCUGGAGUACUUUUUAGAUAUAUGAGAAUUCUGUAAACAGCUUCGAGAUGUUCUUCCCGAGGAUGAUGCAUGAAGCGACUUACUAUACUGACUGCAAAAGCGACGUCUGGUCUAGUUUUAGAUAUCGUCGUGCAUCCACUAAGGCUUUUUCUCCUUCACAUAGUUUUAGAUUGUACUCCACAAGCGUAUCAAUUGGUUUGCAGCCACUCAUUCCAGUUUCCUUCAAUAAAUCAAGGAUGUAUUUCCUUUGUGAGACAACUAUACCUUUCUUGGAACGAGCAACUUCCAUUCCAAGAAAGUAUUUCAAGGCACCUAAGUCCUUGAUUUCAAAAUCAGUGGCUAGGCUUUGCUUCAAUCUGUCCAUUUCAACUAAAUCAUCUCCAGUGAGAAUAAUGUCAUCCACAUACACUAUAAGCACAAUGGUUUUACCUUUAGCUGAAACUCUAGUGAACAUUGUGUGAUCAGCCUGACUUUUUUUGUAACAUUGUCUAUUCACAGAUGUAGUAAAUUUCUCAAACCAAGCCCUAGGCGAUUGUUUGAGACCAUAUAAGGACUUUUGCAACUUGCACACAUUUGACCUAAAUUUUUCAGAGAAACUAGGAGGAGGAUCCAUGUAUACUUCCUCUUUUAAAUCCCCGUUGAGAAAUGCAUUCUUCACAUCCCAUUGUUGUAAUGGCCAAUUUAGGUUUGUAGCAAUAGACAAGAGAACUCAUACAGUGUUUAACUUUGCUACUGGUGCAAAUGUCUCUGAAUAGUCAAUCCCAUAGGUUUGAGUAAACUCCUUUGCCACUAGGCGAGCCUUGUAUCUCUCAAGUGAACCAUCUGAAUUGUAUUUGAUAGUAAAUACCCACUUGCAGCCAACUGUUGACUUCCCUUUAGGCAAAUUGACCACCUUCCAAGUCUGAUUCUUCUCAAGAGCAUUCAUCUCUUCAAGGAUAGCUGCCUUCUGUUGAGUGUUAGAAAAUGCAUAUUUAUAAAGGAGAAAACCAUCGUUUUACAUUUCAAGUCUUACUAACAACCCUUACUUUUAUGUAUUUAACCUUUUUGUGAUUUAAUUACAUGUGUUUUAUUUUAAUUAAGUAUUUUAUGUAUUUUAGGGGCAUCAUAGUCAUUUCACAAUAAACGAGAAAUCAGAUGGCAAAACGGACAUCACUUUUGAACUCAGGACGGUCGAAAACCUUAGGAUAAGCAUAAAAGGAAAAAUGGCACUGUUCACUUGUACGGUACUAUUCACGUGUACGGUACUGUAUACGUUACUGUUCAUGACACUGUUCACAUAGACGGAUGAUGACGUGGCAUUGACCGAUGAUGUGGCAUUGACUGAUGAGGUGUCACGAUCCUGUUGGACUAAAAUUCUUAUGUACUGUUGAUGGUGACGUGGCAGCAUAUCAGUGGACGAAAAAUCUCGCGUACGGUGCAUGCAUCACACAGGAUUAUUUUCAACCAAACCGCGUUACUGUUCAAAGUCGGGUCAAACCGUGUUACUGUUCAUCCGCGUGGUCAAACCGUGGACUGUUGACUGAUGACGUGGCGCAAUCCUGAGCGUCCAAACUAUUUUUAAUCCGAUGGCCAUGAUUUACACCAUGUAUCUAUAAAAAGGGGGCCUCUCCCCCCUAAUUUGAUAUCUCUGAAUCCAUUUUUGGGAUCCAUUUUCUGUAAUUCUCUCUCCAUCUUGUAUUUUCUAUGUAUUUUAAUAAAUUCCGAUUUUGCCCCUAGUUCAAUUAUGAGUGGCUAAUUUUCUUUCAAGCUUGGGUUGAAGGUGAAGUCUCAACAUGUGUCAUGGGCUUAAUUUGGUAAAUUUACUUUCUCUUCCCCUCUAGUUUUUGUGGAUGUUUUGACUUCUCGUCGACAAAUAAUACUAAUCUUGUCUAGUACCGCCUUGGUUUCACCGGCCCUCUAGUAUAAGGUUAUUAUUAUUUGGCACGAUAAGCCCUUAGCACCAUAUUGAUUAGAGCGUGGUUCAUGAGGUGUGGAUUCCCCCCUCAUGAUUUAAUUAGCAUUAAUACGGAUUAUUUAGCCCAUGAUGCAUGUUGAUACGGAUCCAGAUACCCAAGUACGUCAUUUCAAUAGAAUUAUCUUUAAUUUAUUCUCGCCAUUGCAAUUCCAAUUUUAGAAUUUAUUCUCGCCAUUUUAAUUUAAGUUUUAGCAUAUACCAAAUCAUUUCCACCAUAAAUCCAACAACCCAUUUACAAAAUUAAUUCUAUACACAAUUAAAAUCCACCUCCUCGUGGGAUCGACACUCGUCACCAUAGAUCUAUACUACAAUAGAUUCGUGCGCUUGCGAGUACAUUAAAAUUUGCACAACACCUUCCAUUCAGGUACACUUAGAGCAUCCUGUACAUUUUUUAGAAUUUCUACACUAGAAUGCUGUGAGGUAAAUGCAUAGAAAGGAGGUGAUAGGUUGUGAUAUGAAACAAAGUUAGACAAUGGGUAUUUGGCACACACUAUUAAAAAAAUGACUUUUACUGACACUUUGGAAAAAGUGUCAAUAAUUACCUAAUUAUGCAUCAUUUUCCGCUUUUUACAAAUAGAUGUCACAAAUUAUUAAUAUUAAUGUAUCAAUAAAUUAAAUAUCAGAGAUCGCUGAUACUUCAGUAUCAGAGAUUUAAAAAAAAUCAUUAAAAUUUGUUUUGAUUUUUACUCGAACCUGGACUUCUAAAACUCAAAACUUUUACGUUUAGAUCGCAAACCGCUGGACGCCAUAAAAUUGAAUUGGAAUUACAAUGUUAUAUAAAAUGUUGACAUAUAAAAAACCAAACCCUAAUUCCCCUUCUCCAUUGUGCAAUAGAGCCCAUGCCGCAGCCGCUGUGUAAUUUCCUUGUCUUUCUUGACUUCUUCUCUAUCGUGAAAGAUGGAGAAUGACCAAGCCCAAACGCCCACAUCCACGGCCGCGCCCAACCUCCACGGCCACGCCCAACCUCCACGGCCACGCCCACCCCCACGUCGUUGCCUCUAUCACUUUCGUUCAAGUGGUUCGACACUGCAGGUACUAAAUUAAGAAUUUAAAGCAUGUAAAACGAAAGUAAAACAUAUCCCAAACUUAGCAAUUGUCCCCAUCUCGCUGUCUUUUAUACACACAAAUCUCUAACCCAAACUCAAACCCAAAAUUGUCUCUUGCCUUUCUCUUUCUCUUUCCUUUUUCUCUUCUCGAUCUCUUCCUUUUUUUUUUUUGGUCCAUUCACAAACUCGUUCAUUUAACUCAAAUAGAUAAUAUAAAGCUAAAACCUAAAGUGAGGCUUUUCUUUCCUUUUUCCUUUUUUUCCCAAAUUGAAAAAUGGAUCAAAACAAUAAUCGGGGCUUCUUUCAGCAAAUUAUUUUUCUUUUUAUGGUCAAAUUUCACUUUUUUUUGUUCAAUAUUCGAAACCCAUUUGCUUGAAUUUGAAUAAAAUUAUUGAGAAAUUAGUUAAUUUUCUUGCUAUGGAAGAGAUACCGCACCUUAUACGUAGACAUGUGAAGGAGAUUUUCAAUGACUCUAAGGGCAAACAGGUUGCCUUGAUUAAGGCUUUAACUGUUGGUAAUGGCUUAAUAUUUUAUUUUCUUUGUCAAAUUAAUUAACAGGUUUUUUUAUUUUAGCUUAUGAUUAUUAGGGUUUUUUGUUAAUUUUAAUUUUCUGGGUUGUUGCAGAUGUUGAGAAACUCUACCAGUGUGCAGUCUUGGUAGGAUUUCUUUUCCAUAUCUAUUUUUUGUUUAUUUAAUUGUAAUUUGAAUUUUUUUCUUUUUUUCCUAUAUUUCUAUAUUAUAAAGAUUGAAUGGUUGUGUAUUUAGUAAUUAUUACAUGUUAUUUACUGCUCUGUUUCAUGUAAAGAGAAGCAAAUUAUGUUAUAGAAACCAACAUGUUUAUUUAUUUAUUUUUUUCGGUUGGAAGAUUUUUAAUAGAGUCAAUGACUAUGAUAUGAAUUACCUAAGUUCAUGCUUGUCUGAAUGUUUUGAGAUUGCACAAAGUUCAUGAUUUGUCUUUAAUUCAAGAAGAAAAUGCUUGUUUUUAGGUAGUUUUGCUUGUUGUAGCACUUGGAGACUUACAUUUUCUUUCUUCAUUUGCACGGUUAGUUUCGCUCUUAUUCAAAAGUUUAUGUGUUUCCUCACUUGCAUGGUCAUUAAUUCAUUCCAUGAUUUUUCUUCUAUAAACACACUUUUAUUUGCCUUUCACUAGUUUGAAGGACUUUAUUUUUUUUAAUUAAAAAAUUCCAAAGAUUGAAAUGAAUUGAAAUUGCUGCUAUAAUGUACUUUCUUUGCUGCUGAAGUUCAAGGAAUGUCUAUUUAAAUGAACUAGAACUUGAAAAAUCUUGUAGUGUUGUUGUACCCAUAGACUUCAUUUUUUUUCUUGCACAUUACACUUAUUUUGUUCAUCUUCUUACCUUCAAUUUGUCGUAGAGGUAAACAAUGCUUGACGGGAAAUGGAGGUUUGCAUUUACAGCGGCUGAAUCUCAUGAACAAGAAGUUGGCAAACUGAGGUCUAUAUUUUUUCCUCAAAUUCAUAGUUGAAUUCAUAGUAAGCUCAAAGCAAUUGAUUGAGGGAGAAAGUAAAUUGAGUUUUAUUUAUUAGUACAAUUUUUGUUAUUCAGUGCUUUACACUCUUCAUGACAACUUCUGCGAUCUUGUCCUAUUACCUUAAGGUACUACUGGAUAUUUGAGAAAAAAUUAAAAAUGAUUAAGCUUAUCUUUCUUUGAUGGUAGAAUUACAGUAUGUCUCCUCACUUAUUGUAGUUCAUCCAAUUUUAUUUUUGUUGCGCAGUCUGUGGAAAUCAGAGUACCACAUUUAAGAGUUUUUAUAAAAUGUCUCCUUUACCUUUCCUAUUAUUUAAACUAAUUUCAUGUGUUUUUCUUUAGUUAAUGAUUGAUUUUCAAGCAAUUGAAGGAAAGUAACUUGUAGAACCUCCUUCUAAAAUUGGUCUGGAACCUUUGUGUGCAAUGGUUAGUGAAAUCAUAAUCCGUGGCUUGUGUUAAUAUGCAUCGAUUGUGUGAAAACUAUUGUUUACUAUUUUCUGUGGCUGGUUAUUAACAUGAUUCACAGAUAAACAACAAUAGACUCAUACCCAUAUGCUUGCUUGCUUUCAACAUGCACUUUCUUUCUUUUUUUCUGUAGUUUUUUUUAUGCGUCUCUCUUUGAAGAAUAAUAUUAUUAGCUUACACGAAAAGGGGGAAAUUGCCGUUAUCUUGCUGCAAGUUUUGUCCCGGUUCUAUAGUUCUACUAUUUUGUAUCACCUUGGAUGACAUGUCGAGUGAAUCCUGAAACAUCAUUUGUCAACCUUUUGAUUCAGUAAUAAUUUAUUAAUUUUGAGAAAUUAGUUUCAUUUUAUCUUGUUUGUACCUAUAAUGCAUUGUGUUCAAUGUUCUUGAAAUUUUUGGGCAUGGCUGCAAACAAAUUUAGCAGUUUUUAAUAGCCAACUAUAGAGACACUUUAAAAUUUGUUUGGGUGAUGAGUUUUUAUGGUUUUGUAAUUGGGGUGAAGGGUAGCAAAUAUCAAUCUUGUCUAAAGAGCACUUGUGUAAGAUUACUUUUGAGUAUAGUGGGGCAGCCUAUAUUAGUAUUUUUAUGAAAUAAGCAGAAAAAGGAAUCCCUUUCUGCUGUUAGCAAUAAAAAUAAUUUUCAAAAAUGUAAAUACCAAGCUUUCUAGUUGUCACCGUUAUUUGCAAAGAUCUUUUCAAUGUAUUUGUAGAUCCCAACAUAUCUUGAUGCAUGAUCAAUUAGUAUAUGAUAGCAUGGGUGAUGAUCUUUCCAUUUGCUUCUCUUUUUCUAUUUUUUUUGGGCAUCAUCGUCUAACGUAAGCAGGCCUCCUCCAUGUUGAUUUUUUUUAAAGAGUUUGGAGCUUAUGCAUUCGCAAUUCUAAAACAUGGGCCAAUAUGCUUUCUACUUGUUAAUCUAUUUACUUAUUGUCAAUUUUGCAGGUUAAUUUUGAAGAUGCGCAGAGAGGUUUUGUAGAGGUUGGGAAGGUAUUUAAAACUUAAAGCUUUUAAUUCUUCUUUCCCCUGCUUAAUAUAUGUUUUCCCUAUAUAGUGUUUCAACAUGACCUGAUUUCAUGCCGCCUCAUUUAUUCCAACAUCCAUAAACACUGAAAUUGACCUGAUUAGUUUUUCUCCCAAAAAUCCAAGAAUUAUUUUUUUGUGGUAUACUAAUUGAUUUUAUGUACUUGUAGGUGGAAAAAGAAAAAUGAAGCCGCUUGUGGAUGUUCAGUGACAUUAUGUGCUUCUUUUUGUUGGUUAAUAUUUGUUGAAUCUUAGCUUAGUACUUUGUAGUUCAGAGCUUGUCCAAGACUUAAUUUAGUACUUAUAUUUGUCUUUUCCAAACAAUGAUGUAGUUGAAUUAUAUGAAUUUAAGUGAUGGAUUUGAGAUAUUUCUUAUGUAAUUGUGUUGCGAGAUUUUGUAUAUUUUAAUAUACUUUGAGUUUUCCUUUGGUUGUAAAACGAACAAGAAAAUAUAAUUAAAAUAAAAGUAUACUAUUAACCAAAAGAAUCAUAACAUCAUUGAAUACUGACACUAAAUGUUUAAAAUGACAUUAAUAAUUUUUGAUGUUAUUGAGUCAGUGUGUUCUUGAUAUUGUAGUCUCAUAAAUUAUUGACAUAAAUAGUAUCAUUAAAUACUAAUGCUAUCGUGUCAUUAUUUUAGUGAUACCAUAAUGACAUGAAUUACUGACACAAAAAUCAUUGACACUAAAAAUUAGUGUCAGUGUGUUUUGGCUGGAGCAUUAUUGACACAAUUAACAAGUGUCAGGAAAAGUAAUUACUGACACUAAAUUAGUGUCAGUAAAGUCCAUUUUUCUAGUAGUGACAACUUCUAGUACCUUUCCUAAGAGCAAUAGGUAUGUCCAGAUCACUAAGAACCUGAGAAUUUAAAUUUAACUCACAAGAAGGAUUAGAAUUACAAUUACCUGAGGAAGAAGAAGUUUGAUUUGACCUUGGAUUGGAAUCAUGGCCUUGCUGCAAAGUAGGGUUUUCUCUUCUUUGAUUAGUACCCUUUCUUGAGUAAACAAUAAACUCAGAUUGUUUAUUACCCUGUCUUGCACACAAAUCUGGUUCUAAUGGCACAUUAGAGGGCUGUCCAGGUUGAUUAGCAUUUACAUUAUCAGAUUUAGUGAGGUUUUCUUGUGGUUCGGGUGCAUUAGGUUCUAAUAUGGGAUCAAGAAUGGUAUAACCAGGUAUAGCAAUGUUAGGAACAUGUACAACAGUAUUAGGUUCAGGUAUGGCAGCCUCGAGACUUUUUUCUGGACGGAGGGAGUCUAGCACAGAAGAAAUAGAAGGGUUUUCUAGGUGAAUAGUGUUAAAGAUAGAAGGGGUUUCUAGGUGAGUAGUGUUAAAGAUAGAAUCUUCACUCCUAUUCUCCCCCUGAAGAUGACUAUCUACAUAAUAUCUUCGUUUUUCAAAAAAUGUAACAUCCAUGGUAACAAACAUUUUUUUUUAAAAUAGGAUCAAAACAUUUAUAACCCUUUUGUGUUGGAGAAUAUCCAACAAAAAUGCAUUUUCUAGCCUUUAGAGCAAGUUUGCCCCGAUUCUGGUUGUGAAUAUGAACAAAAGCAACACAACCGAAUAUUUUGGGCGGAAGUGUGACUGAAAUUCGUGAGGUAGAGAAACAUUGAUUAAAGAAAUCAGAUAGAGUUUAAAAUUGUGGAACUUUUAAAGGCAUUCGAUUUAUCAAAUAGGCAGCGGUGAGUACAGCUUCCCCCCAUAAAUACAUAGGAACUUGAUUUAUAACAAGUAAGGAUCUAGCAACUUCAAGAAGAUGCUUAUUUUUGCGUUCAGCAAUUCCAUUUUGUUGGGGGCUAUCCGUACAUGAACUUUGAUGAAAUAUGCCAUUUUCCACAAAAAAAUCUCCCAAAAACUUGUUAAAGUAUUCUUUCCCAUUGUCAGUUCGGAAAACUUGAAUUUUAGUUUGAAACUGAGUUUGUACCAUGUUGUUAAAAGUUAAAAAUAAUUCACACCUAUGAUUUUUCCUUCAUUAAAUAUACCCAAGAAAUAUGGGUAUGAUCAUCAAUGAAGGUAAUAAACCAUCUUUUUCCUGUUAAUGUAGAAAUUCUAUUAGGUCCCCAAACAUCACUAUGAAUCACAGAAAAAGGUUUUGAGGCUUUGUAGGGUUGGGAAGGAAAUAAUGCACGAUGAUGUUUUGCUAAUUCACAAAUUUCACAUUUAAAGGAAGAAGAACUUUUAUUAGCAAACAAGUUGGGAAAUAAAUAUUGCAAAUACUGAAAACUAGGAUGGCCUAACCUAAAGUGCCACAACAAAACUUCAUUGUCAUUAUUAACAACAGAAACAGAAUUGAAACAAAUACGUGGAGGUUGUUGUCUCAAACUUGGUACUUCUUCAAAGAAAUACAGCCCCCCACUUUGUCUAGCACUGCCAAUCAUCUUCCCCGAGGUCAAAUCCUGAAAUUCGCAAUGAUUUUGGAAGAAACUAGCACAACAGUUCAGGUCAAGAGUUAAUUUGCUAAGGGACAAAAGAUUGCAAGAUAGGUUAGGAACAUGCAGAACAUUAUGAAGAGUGAGAGUGGAAGAAAGAAUGAUAGACCCUUUUCUAGCAAUAACCGAAAGGGAUCCGUCAGCGAUCUUAAUUUUUUGAUUUCCUGCACAUGGCUUAUAGGCAGAAAACAAAGAUGGAGAGCCUGUAAUGUGAUCGGUUGCUCCUGAAUCGAUAAUCCAAGAACAAGGAUUCGAAUGAUGAGAAACAAGGGCAGCAGAAAGAUAAUUACCUUUUUGAGUUAAUGAGCAAGAGGGAGUAGAUGAAUUGAAGGAUGAGGAUUGAAACAAUUUAUACAAGUGCUCUAAUUGAUCCUUGGUGAAAGGUGAUGACUCUGAAGAACCUAAUUUCUCUUUAUCUGAAGUAGCUUGGAAGGCUCGUCCAUCACCUCCUUGUUUCUUCUUCACAUGAGGAGGCUUGCCAUGUAACUUCCAGCAAGUUUCUCUUGUAUGCCAAGCCCUUUUACAGAAGUUGCACCAAGGUUUCUUUGAAUUCCUUCGAUCUCCAUCAGGUUCAGGUGCCUUUAAAAUAAGAGCAGAACUCUCUGAACUCUCUACUUCACUGGUGGCUUUAACAUCAUUAAGCAUGACAUUCCGUCGCGCUUCUUCUCUUCUUACCUCAGAAAACACUUCUCAAAUAGAUGGAAGGGGUUUCCUGCUCAGAAUUAUGCCUCUCACUUUGUCCAAAUCACGGUUUAGCCCAGCUAAGAACACAUAUACUUUGUCAUUUUCCAACAUCUUUUUAUACCUUACACUAUCACUCGAACAGUCCCACUGCUCAUCAUAGCAAAGAUCUAAUUCCUGCCAAAGGAUCAACAGUUCAUUAUAGUAAGUUGUGACCAACCAAUUACCUUGCUUGGAUUGGCACAAUCGAGUUUUCAACUCAAAUAUCUGAGAUGAAUUUUCUAAAUCAGAAUAGGUAUCUCGGACUGCAUCCCACACCGCCUUGGCUGUCGGUAAGAACAGAUAAGGCUUACCAAUCCUAGGCUCCAUUGAGUUUAUCAACUACGCAAUAACCAUCGAAUUUGUUGAUCCCCAGGUCGAAAGAGAAGGAUCUCCAGUAAUUGGUUUUGUUACUUCACCAGUCAAAUGCCCCAGCUUUCCCUUUCCAUCAAUUACCAACUUAACGCACUGUGCCCACUCUAAGUAAUUUUUUCCAUUCAAUUUAUGAACAAUUAGUUGCAAAGAAAAGCUAUCCUGGUUAUAUUCAGACUGCUGCAACAGCGGCUGAGGAGUUCUGGUGUUACUAUCAUCAUCUUCGGCGGUAGAUGCCGAUGAGCUCUUUGUAGCUCCAGUCAUGGCAGUUUUCACCAUUGAAAAAUAGACCUCUAAAUAUUCAUUGCUCUGAUACCAUGUAAAUAUUUAGAGUCUGAAAAUACUAUUUUUCUUCUUUCAUUCAUUCAACAAGUUACACUUAAAUAGAAUAUAGAAAACAAACUCCUAAUAGAUAUCCCCUAAUUGUAGGAUACUUAUCUAAACUUGAAUUUAAAAAAAUGAUUAUCUAAAACUUUAUUCCGAUAAGACUUUAAAACUAAACUAAUUAUCUAAAACUUUAUUCUGAUAAGACUUUCAAACAAACUGAAAAAUCCUAACUUCUUGACACAUAGAUCAUACUGCAGAUGAAUUUUGGAAGAUGAACAAACUCAGGCAUCUAGUCAUUGAAGAUGGUGAAUGAAAGCACGAUGCCAAGGCUCUCCAAAAUCGUCCUUGCCAAAUACCUACUUCCUCAAAGUCUAAUCCCCUUGAGUUUCUCUAAUACUGAACAAAUGGAUGAUCCCAUGCCUGUGCUAGAAAAGUUGCCACUUCUUCAAAUGCUCAAACUGAAGCAAAAAUCAUAUUCAGGUAGAUAGCUGACUUGUGGGUCUGAUGGUUUCCCAAAGCUCAACAUAGUGCACUUGAAUUCAAUGCCAUGCCAUUUAAACAAAUUCGAGUGUUGGUGGCCUCAGCCGGAGCUGAGACAAAAGCUACGGGACUUUGAGGAUAAGGCGCAGUAUGACAAUCAAGUAUAUCAUUAUGGAAUUUGAUUUGCAUGGAUUUAAUUAGAUGUAAGUUUUUCAUUUUAUACAAUAUCAUCAACCUUUAAUUAUUAAUCUAAUUUCAUACAUAUGUUUUUUCUUCUCCUCAAUAUAUUUGAUAGUACGCAGCUUCCUAAUGCUAUCAAGUGUUUUCUAAUUGUAGUUGCUUCUAAUUUUUGUCUCAACAUUAGAGAUGAAGUGUUCAUCACAGUUCCUGAUGCUGACCCCGACCAUUUUCCCUUGUCUAUUGAUUGUUGAACAGUCAGGAAAAACUAUAAUUUCAUUUCAGAACCCUUGUGUAUUGAUCGUUGAGCAGUGAGGAAAAACUAUAAUUUCAUAUCUUAAAUUACUUGCGCCGGUGAAAUCAGAGCGGGAAAUAUGUCAACUGUAGUGCAGCAAAAGUUUCAAUUUCAACUAGAAUCCGGCCUUGAUCCUUUUAGUAUUCACUUCUGCUAUCUACACAUUAAUGAGUCCUUAGGAUUGAUGCAGGAUAUUAUUGGGUUUCUUUGUUUUCAAGGAUCUGCUACAAGCAAUAAUGUCAAGUUUUUGGAUUCACUGUGUAUAUUUUAUUCAUGUGUCUUCAUUCUUGUAAUGUGCUUGAAACUCCACCUUAGUGUGGACGUGUGUGGUUUGGUCGUACCAUGUGCAAUACAUGUAAAUUGUCAUAAUUGUCUUAAGGGAAUUCUGCAUCACUUCCAUUAGAAGAAAACUUUGGAUGUAGGCACCAUUGCCGCUGAAUCUACUUUUGAUUUGCUCCAUGUUUUCUAUAUUUUUUUAAUUCAAUUUUGGAGAUAGGGUUUCUAGCAUUGAUUGUUGAUACAUCAGAGGACUAAAUACAAGAAAUAAAAACUGGGGCAUAUUGCCUAAUCUUCAGAAUCUCCAAUUUUAUGGAGAUUUAAGCCCUUAUCAUUCAUAAAUAACUUGAGUGUUGGAUUGUUAUUAUCUUAGAUUCUCUAAAUAAUAAUCCGAAUAAGAAUGUUGGAAAAAUAUUGAUUAUAAAUACUUGUUUUGAACAAAUACUACCUAUUAUUUUAAAUUUUGGACUUAGAAAUUAUAAAUAGUAUUAGCAUGUGAAUUUUAAGGUAUUAGCUGAUUCUGUCCAAUUUUAGAGGUUGAUCCAUCAUGCUAAACUUAGUCAUUGGUUUUUGCUGAACAAAUGAAUGUGUAUCAUUUUUUUUUCCUCUUUUUUUUCUGUUAUACUUUGAUUCCCCUGCUUCUAGCUGAUUCUGUUCUCCUUUAUAACGAGAAAGAAGUUGUCUUUUGUGCUCUUAUAUAUACAUGUUAAGCCUGGAUAUGUGUGGUUUUGUUUGUUUUAAUAAUAUGAUUGUGUGGUGUCAUCUGUAAUACUUUUUAAGGGUGCAAAUCAAAUGAGUUUAUACCUUAUAGUGAAUUUGGUUAAUUUCAAGAUAUCAUUUUUUGGGAUCUUCGGCUCUAGUUGCUAAUACAAAAUUCCUCAAAUCUCGUUUGGAAUUUGGGAGUCCGUCCUAAAUGAUACAAGAUUUGAUAAAAAUUUCUCAUUCUGAUUUAUUAAUCGAGUUGAGAUUCAAGAUCUAGUUUUCUUCUAAUUUAAUAUUCAAGACGGGAUUUGAGACGUCUGAAAAUCUCAUUCGAGAUCCCUUAGGCAAUCAAAUGAGUUCAUAUCCUUAUAAUGAAUUUGGUUAAUUUCAAGAUACCCUUUUUUGGAAUCUUCCGCUCUAACUGUUAAUACGUGAACCUAGGCUGGCAAAAUUAUCCAGAUACCAAUCGAGAUACAAACCCUAUAUAAGAUUUGUUACAAAUUUCUUAUCCCUAUUUUCAAUGUAGGUCAGGAUUUGGGACCCCAUUUUAUACCGAUUGAUAAAUUUCUUUAUUUAGACAAUAACUGAUGACAGAUUAUUAGUUUAAAGCUCAUGGAGUAAAGGUUGAAUUAUUGGUUCAAUCAUCCGUAAUUUUCUGCAAGCAUGCAAUAUAUUAAACAAGAGAUUAUUUAAUUAUUUUUUGGGUUCUGUUAUUAACAAUAAUGAUUUUGAAGAUAUUAGUGGGAGAAAAAUGGUUCUUUUAAAUCAUUUUCAAUCUUGAGAAAAAGUUUUCUUGCUGCCAUACACUGUCCUUUCUCUAUAUUUAUAUUUAAUUCAUAUGUACAUAUAUCAUACAUACAUUAAAUGAGUGUAAUUCAAUAAAAACAUUCUAUGAUCUUUCUGCUAUAUGAAAAAUAACCUAAAAAAUAUAUAUAUACAAUUACACAAGCUCUAUUAAUACUCUACCAAUUAAAUUGAGCACGUGUUCUUUUUAAUAUCCUCAUUUCAGCUAAUUGUAUCCAGCCCAGUGGCCGCAUUUUUUUUUUCUCUUUUUGUGUGUGUGUGUAACCAAAGCUUUUUAUCUUUCAUUUGCAAUUUGAGAACCCAUUAGCCAGACAAUUAAAUGCAGAUUCCAUGAAUUUUGCACCGUUGACUUAACUCGAAGAGUAAGACUUCGAUGUAACUACGGAGUCAACAAAUAUGCUUGUCAUGGAAAAUCUCAUAACGCGUACAUUUACUUUUUCAUAUAUUGUGUCUCUAUUCUACCUCUCCAACUUAAAAUUCCUUGCUCGUGUUUUAAACAUGACAUAGAAGUUCUGGUUUGGAAAUGGUAGAGAUAGUUAGAUGUCACAGUUGCAUACAAGUGUACACAAUUUCUUUGUCAAAUAAAAUCUAGUCACAUAUUUAUUCUAAAACUUAAUUAUAAACUAUGAAUAAAUAAAAAACAGUGGACAUAAUUUUAUUGACUGUCCCAUUAAAUCCGUCGCACCUAAUUUUAUUUGCUUGCAGUGGGACGACUUUAAAUGUUGUCAUGUGGCUGCACAAAUGGACUAAUUCCUGUCACAACUUGAUAGUCUAUAUUAGCGCGGACUGUUGUGACAAAUGAACCUCUAUUUCGAUUGCGUACUCCAAUAUGUUAAAAAAAAGAAAAAAGAAAAUAAAAAGAAAAUAGGACAUCAUCAAGUAUCAAUCAAAGAUCAAUUUGUUUUAUCCACUUUCAAGAAAGAAAAGGUAAAAACAAUCCCACUGGGGACCAUAAAGUUUAUCUCAAAAGAAAAAGCACUACAAUAGUCGAACACAAAGAAGAGUAAUAAUGAGAAAGGAGUUGCAUAUAAAUUGAAGAUUUUUAUUUUUUUUAAAGAAGGGCCCGACAUCAUGAUUGCUUUCAUUUAGGAAAGGAUAUAUGAAAAAGAGAUGAAUAUUGCACUUUAGAUUUGGAUAAUUCCGAUUGGAUUUUGAAUUGUUUGGAUUAGGAAAAACAAAUCAUUCGAAUCCAACCUGAAUCUCAAAUACAAUCGAUCGGAUUUAAAAUAAAUCAGAUCUGAUAAAUAUUUCAGAUACAUUUAGUUUCAGAUUGUUUCGGAUUUAAAUGAUAUUUUAGAUUCAAAUGGUAUUUUAAGUUCAGAUUGAAUUUGUAUUUGGGUCUUUUUGAUAAUUUUUACAUAAAAUUCAUAAAAUCUAUAUAUAUAUAUAUGAGUAGUGCUAAAUGUCGGGAAGGCUGAGAUAACCCUGAGAGAAAUGGUAGCUUGUGCUGCCAUUUCGCGCGUGUUCUCUUGGCCCCGCCCCCCAUGUUUCUUUCUCUUUUCUUUUUAACUUAACGUUUGCUGUAGUCAGCCUUUUGCUGCAGUCAACUCAUCUCUCCAGCACCAAAAACUACCGUAUCUUCUCCCUCCCCUCAAUUUCAUCGGCACUCUCUCUCAUCAACGGCAUCGUUACCGACAGCCACCUCUUUCUCUUCAGCUCGUCACGACAGACACCACCAGUUUGGUUCGUCACUUCGUCCGGAUCUCUCCAUUAUUCCAAGUGUGUUUCCCCUAUUUUUUGUUCUAAAAAACCCAAAAAAAUGAAGAACAACACCUGUAUUGAUUUCGAUUUUUUGAUUCCAAGUCAAAGGGGUGCUUGACUUUUAAUUAUACAAGAUAGAAGAUGAAACCAAAUUUUGAUGUUGAUGAAGAAGAAGAAACAAAACUGACAGGAGGAAGAAGAAGAUAAUUGUGAUGAUGUUGUUGAUGAAGAAGAUGAAAUUGACGAUGGAGAGAAGUAACGAAGAAAUUGGAGAAGAGAGAGAAAGAAAAAAGAGAAGAAGAAGAAGGUAAAAGAAGAAAAAAAUAUAAGAGAGAUAAAAUAAUAUAAAAAAAAGAGGAAAUGUUUAAAGUAAAGUGGGGGUGGGGCCAAGAGAACACGCGUAAAAUGGCAGCACAAGCUGCCGUUUCUCUCAGGGUUCUCUCAGCUUUCUCGACGUUAAGUAUUUUCCUAUAUAUAUAUAGUAGUGCAAUCUAAUCGAAUUGUUUAAAUUAAAAUGGAUCCAAUCCAUCGAAUGCACAAAUUUUAUCCAAUCGGAUAUAAAUGGCAACAUCCAAAUCCAAAUCAGAUCGAAUCAUAUCUAUCCGAAUCUGAUCCAUGCACACCUUUAGCCCUAUUGGAAUGAUUAUCUAACGAUUCAAACUAUAACGUAUUUUGUUGUAGUUUGUAGAGCGCUUGAAAAGAAAAUCUCUAAACAAUAGUGACUAUUAUGAAUUAGAUGCAUCAAUCAAUUGUUGAAAAUUGAUUAAAAACAAAAAAAGAAAGGUUGUUGACCAAAAUUUGUUGAUCAAAUUUGAUGGCUAAGCCACCAAUUUUGAUCAAAAUUGGUGGGCAUAGUUAGGCAAGUUUUUGCCUAUAAAUAGGAGGGUGCUCCUCCUCACUUUUGUAUCCAAUUGAGAGCAUUCAAUUGGUGAAUGCAAGAAAAGCAUUGAGAGCUUCUAAUGGGAGAGAAAUAAUCUUAAGCAUGUAGAUGUAUUAUAGGAGUAUUUGGCUCCUCAAUGUGGGUAUUACGGGUUUGCUCUGUUAAAGAAUAUUUUUCGGGAUCAUGUAUUUGGGGCUUGGGUGAGAAAAAUUAUUUCUGAAAGUGUGGUUGUAAUAAUUUUUCACAUAAUGAAUAUUUUUUUCUCUGGUUGUCUUUUGAUAACGGCCGUAGUUUUUUUUCUGGAUUUAGAGUUUUCCAUGUAAAUCUUGUAUUGUGUGACUAAUGUAUUCUCCGUUUAAUUUUUUCUGUUAAUUUAUUGUUUGACAAAUUGUUUGUAGUGAUCUUGGGAGAAAACUCAAUUUCCUAACACGAAUCAGAUUCUAAGGAGAUGUUUUUUCUCUCUAUACAAGCUUUAUGGUCCCAGCGGAAUUAUUUUUAAUCUUUCAGUCUUUUGAGAGGGCAAAAAAGAAACUAGUCUUGAUAGCCUAUUUUACUUUCUUCAUACACAUAUAUAUAAAACACAAAUUAUAAGACACCCUUUUAUCUUCUUGCAUAAAGAAUAUUUUAUAUACACGUGCAUUAUACCUCAGGUUUUGUGCAGAAAAUCAUUAUUGUAAUGUUUUGGGAGAGAUUAUUUAGUGUUAGACAUUGGAAUUUGUGGGUUUGUUUGAAUAAGAAUUUGAGGUAUUUUAGUUUAGAAUCUAUGAGUAAGGAUUACGAUUUGUAAGUAACAUCCUUCUUCACGUGCUCCGCACGUGUUAGUUUUGGGGUGUAACAUAACUAGAUCCUAAGAUCUCGAUCCACAGCUUAGUAAUCUGCAGAUACUUCAUACGAAGCCGAAUCCGCUGAAUCAGGAGUAAGAAUCUUAUAUACGUGUAAGAAUAAAAAUAAAAAGUUGGAAAAAGAAGCUCAAAGAAUUUUAAAUUGAAAAGUUGAUUUUCAUGUGCGGAACAAGGGCUUCAGAUUAAAUUGUUGAAAAAGUUUUGUAGUAAAAUAUUUUUGUUUUCAUAUGAUUUUUUAAGAAAAAAGAAUAUAUAAGGUUUUUUGUGGAAUUAACAUAGGUGUUGUUAAAAGUAGUGUGAUUUACAUAUAGGGGCGGGCAAAAAAAUCGUGCACUAGAGAAAACAAAACUGAACUGAUCCGAACCGUUCCAUUCGGAUCAGUUUUAAUUUUAAAAAAUAAACGAAAUAUAUGGUUUGUAAAAAGAAUCGAAAUGUAGGUUUGGUAUUUGGUUCACUUAGCUGAACCAAAAAACCGAACUAAAAAACCAGAUUGUUCUUGGAAUUUUAUUUAAAUAGACAUGUGUUAAAUUUUAAUUGGUUGCGUAAGAUAACUAAAAUAGGCAUGCACACACACGAUUAUGGGUAUAUAUAUAUGUUACAAUUUCUGCACCCAAAACAAACCUAAAGGCUAAAAUCAAAAACGAAAUCAACUCGCAAGCCAAAUCCUUUUAGGAGUUCUUUAACUCAUAAAACAGUCAAGUCAUUAAUCUGUACUCAAAAUUGGUUUUACUCAACUCUCUUAGGAGAGCAUACAAUACAACCAAGUCAGGAGGAAGCUGAAUUCUAUGAAUUAGUUGAAACAUGUAAUAUUGUAAUUUAUUAUGUUAUUUUUUGUUACUUAUAACAUUUUGUAUAUUAGAAUUAAUGAUUUUAAUAUAAUUGUUUCAAUUUCUUGAAGAAUUGUUUAGGCUAAUGCAAUCUCAACAACAACAAGUAGCUGAGGAGUAAAUGACAGUUGACUGAUGUUGCUGACCAGUAAGUUUUCUUUAUUUUUUUUUAAAAAAUAGUAUCUUAUUUAUAUAGAUUUUUAUUUAAUUAUUUAUUUUUUUAAAUUUUUUUUAUAGAUCCAAAUAUUGAGUUGGAAAAUGCCUAAAGUUGAUACUGAUAUUGAUGGGGAUAGGAGAAUGUUGUUGUCAUUUGUUUGCAAUUUAAAAAAAAAAAAUUUUGUGAAGAUGGGAGAAUGUUGUUGGUGUUUGUUUCCAAAUUUUCUUUUUAUUUUGUGUUGUAAGUUUUAAUUGUUGUUAUUUUUAUUUGUCUUUACAACAUUAUGUUUAUGUAAAUGGAGUAUUGGAGUUUAAUUAUGUAUUUUGAACUCUUAAUAUUUCAUAUUUUGUAAGUAUCUUAUUAGUAGUUAGUAAGAUAUUAGUGAUAAAAUAUGUUUUGAAUAUUUUGUAUUUAUUGUUAAUAUUUGUAAUGAAAUUAGGAUAAAUUAAUUGUUGAAAAAAAUAAUUACAUUCAUGAGGCCUAAUGAGCUAAAAAUUUAGAAAUUCAAAAUAGGCCCAAUAGGCCCAAAACCGAAAAAAUCGAACCGGACCGAACCGAUCUGAGAAGAUCCGUUUAUAUUCGAUUUUUAUUGUGUUCGGUUCUUAUUUGGUUCUUUUAAUAAAAUAACCUAUUUAAAUCGAUUUUGCUUAAUUUCGAUUCGAACCAAACCAGACUGAACCAUGCCCACCCCUAUUUACAUAUGUUUUUAAUCGUGUACUUUUAGAAGAGAGGCUUUACGAGGAGUUUAAAGUGGUGCUAAUAGUUUCACUUAUUGACAAAUGGGUCAAAAAACAUCCAAAAGCUUCAAAGACCUUUCAUAAUACUUGGAACACAAAAUAGUUAAUUAUACUUUACAAAAAAAUUUGUUUUUUAACAUUUUACAACUCAAAACACGCUAGAAGAUCUUUAAUAUUUCUUAGUUUACUAUAAGAUACUAUAAGUAUAUAUAACAAAACAAGAAUAUAUUGAUUGAUACCAUAUAUUUGAUACAAGUGAAUAGAAAAUCUCUCACUUGAUAGAAUAUAUAUAGCAUAUGACAAGUUACAUACAUCUAAUUUUCUGCAUGCAUAUGGAAAAAAAAUUAAUUGUUUAAAUUUCUAAUUUGUCAAAUCAAGGUUUGAUUUCUGAAUUUUUUUAGUUGUUAAGUGGAUUAAAUUUCCCCCCAUAUACACUGUCUAGAGAAACUCAUGAAUCUAAAUAAACCAAACCCAUAUUAAAUUUAAUGAUAUCAUUAUCCUCAGACUCUCAGUUUUGCACUUUUGCUUACAUAAACAUUAUGGAACUUAAACUUAAAUCCACUUUUUUCAUCAUUCUCUUGGUGGCCUCAUGUUUGUUCCUUAAUCUUAUUUUCCUCAUCUUUUUAAUGCAUCCAUAAUUAACUAUAAUAUGACAACUAAUUGGCUGGCAUUUAUAUAUGCAGGCGUGUUAUUAGCAUUAGGCUAAUUAAUUGAUUGCCAUUUAUAUAUGCAGGUGUGUUGUUUGAUAUUUUCAUGCCGGCAGUUGAUGCUCAACCGGAAUCAAAAGCAGUCACUUGUAAAAGCAAUGCCGACUGUGACAAUCCCUGUCAGUCGUUUCGAAUGCGAUCUUGAUACCCAUCUCUGCGUUUGUGUUCCUGGCCGCAAUUCGAUGGGUUGCUGAAGAGAUUAAAGCUUGUAUUGCAAGUUCUAGUGAUAUUUUGGAUGCUGAAUUGCAAAAUUUGUAACGUUACAAUCUUUGUUCCGUUUCUUACGUCAUGUGUCAAAUAAAAGUAUCAACUAAGAUUGCUGCCUCUCUUCUGAUAUGCAUACUAAAAUUGUGUACAAAAAUUUACAAAUCAUCUCCAUGUGAUUGGUCCUAUUAUACAAUGUUGUACCAUUCAUUUGGAGAAGUCUUUAAGGCUUGGAAUUAUACAAUUUUUAAAAUUUUCAGUAUUUUUUUUGGCUUUCGAGCUGGGUUCGGACUUUUAACCGGAGCCCAAGACCAGCCAGAAUACUUAGAAAACAUGCUCUAGCUACACUUGAUUUUUCUGCCAUUCCUACUUAGAAUUCCAUUAUCAUUGAUUUCAUUGAUGGAUUGUUAUAUUUUUCACACUAAGUGCUCAAAUGAAAAUAAUUAUAAAUAGUGUCUUAUGAUGUAAUCCUUUCAAAAAGGUGAGAGUUCAUAUAAUACUGAUAUUUGAAUAAAAAAAUGAUACAGUGGUGAGAAAACAACUAUAAAUUUUAUUUAUAAUGUUAAAUAAAAAAUUAUAACUAUUUUUCAAUUAAUAUUGUAACAUUGCACAAUUUACUAUUAUUUUUGUCACCUGUUGUUAGAACUCUUUAUCAUUUUUCAUUUCUUAGAAAAGAAUGCUAAAAAGAAAAUUUAACAUAUAUUAACUAUAAAAUUUUACAAACGAUUUAGUACUUUCUCUAAAUCUAGUUGAAGAAAUAAGACAGCAUCACACAUGAUUAAGAAUGCAUAUUUAUUUGAGUAAUUUUACAUUUAUAACCCUGGGAUACAAAUUUUAUUUGUGAUAUAGAUACAUGCAAGUCUCGCAAUAAAUUUAACAAUUAACACCAGACAUGAUUUUGCAUUUUUCCACAGCUUAAUUAUUAAUUAUUAAAUAAUUGAUAACGCUCUUGUGCUUGCUCCGUUCUUUUCUUUUCAGACAAGCUUUUAUAGUCCCAGUGGAAUUGUUUUUACCCUUCCUUUCUUAAAAGUGGAUGUAUAAAACAAAUUGGUCUUGAUCGAUACUUGACAAUGUCCUGUUUAUUUUUCGCUGCUUUAUUCUUUUUUCAUCAUAUGGAAGACGAGAUUAUUGUAAGAUUCUGCCUUGAUAUGUUCUAAUUUGAGAGUCAACGAUCUUGAUUUAACUUCUUGACUGGAGAACUAGCUAAGAGAAGGGAGGUAUGGGAGCCAGCACUAAUGUUUGAAUUGAGAGCUUUAAAGCAUAUUUUCCUUUUCCCCUCUCUCUUUUAAUUAUUUCUUUGCAUGCUCUUAGACAGAUUUCAGGGUGGAUUUGAGGGAGGAGGAGAUAUGGACAUCAACAUCAGACUAUUUUCAGAGAGGCUGAGAAGGGUGUUAGCUGGUGAAGAAGUCACGUUGCCUGAUGCUGCAAAACAACCUAUUCACAACUUUCAUGCCGAGAUUGAAAUCGUUACUUCUUUGCUGAGGGACUUUGAAGAUGAUAUCUCCUGCCUUCUGGUGCAAAAAAUAGGAGACCUUGAAAUUGACAACCCAGAUCUGGCGACCGUUAUGGACGAAAUCAACUGUUUUGCGUAUGAAUCUGAGAAGGUUAUUGGCACAUUCAUCAACAGCAUCGCUCAACAGAAGAGUCAAAGCAGGUACAACAAGGAUGUUUGUGAUGCUCUGCAAGGACUCCAAAGCAGAAUCACUGAGAUUAAGCAACGGGUUCAACAACUUAAGCACAUCGAUUUUGAAAUCAUGGAUGGGUUAAGAAGUGUUGAAGCUGAAUCCAGUUAUUUUCCUGCAUCUUCAUCUUAGAAGAAUCGGAACACGGUGGGUCUAGAUGAUAGAAUGGAGGAGUUGUUAGAUCUAUUGAUCGAGGGACCACCUCAGCUGUCAGUGGUGGUCAUACUUGAUAGCAUUGGGUUGGACAAGACGGCUUUCGCCGGAGAGGCUUACAACAGCAGUUAUGUGAAGCAUUAUUUUGAUUGCCACGCUUGGGUUCCAGGGACUUAUCCGUAUGAUGCUGACCAAAUGUUAGAUAUCGUUAUUAAGUUUCUGAUGCCUUCAUCUAGGUUGAGUGAAAUAAUGGAUAAAAAUUAUGAAAUGAAAAAAAUAAUUCUUCAUGAAUAUCUAAUGACCAAGCGGUAUUUGAUUGUGAUUGAAGAUGUAUAGACCAUUGGUGUGUGGGAUGUUAUUCGAGAAAUACUUCUGGAUAAUCAAAAUAGAAGUAGAGUAUUAAUCACACUCAGCCGAAUUGAGAUUGUCACCUCAUUUCAGUUCGAAGACGGAGAGAACAUUGGGCUUGAUUUUGUGCCCACUGGAGGACCAUUGAGAGCUACAUACCAAGGAUGGCCUUUCCUCAUCUUAUAUCAUGGAAGCAUCUCAUUAGAAGAAAAUAUAGGGGAAGCAGUGGCGAUACCCCUUGGGCUUUGGUACUUCAAAUAUUGCAGGUUACCUUUUUGCUUGAAACUUUGUUUUCUCUACUUAUCUGUGUUUCCUGCACACCUAGAGAUAUCCACCAGGCAGUUAUAUCAGUUGUGGAUAGCUGAAGGUUUCAUCCCAGACAAUAGUGAGGCAACUGCUGAGAAUUACUUGGAACAACUAAUCAAGGGAGGCUUUGUUGAAGCAAAUAAGAGAAAAGCUGCAGGCACUAUCAACACAUGCUCUAUUCGUAGCCGUUGCCAUCCUGUGUUGUUGUCAGUUCCUUAUAGGGUGGAAUUUAUCUCUUCCCCUUUCCUGGAUCCAAAAGGUAAAUCACCAAAACAAGUCAAACGGUUAAACGCUGUUAAAAGACAGGAAGAUUUUGCUUGCUUAGAUUAUUAUGACUCGCAACUGCAUUCUUUGUUGUGCUGCUCUCCAGAAAGCCGCCACUUUGACCCCAUGGAUUGGGAGAAAAUUUGUGGAAUGUUCCAACUUCUCAGAGUAUUGGACUUGGGAUCUCUUGUUCUCAUCCAAUAUCCAUCCGGAAUUGAAAAUUUAUUUCUUUUGAGAUAUUUGAAGUUGAAUAUCCCUUCCCUUAAAAGCCUGCCUUCAUCGUUAUUAAGCAAUCUUAUGAACCUCUAUACCCUAGACAUGCCCUUUAGCUAUAUAGAUCACAUGGCAGAUGAAUUUUGGAAGAUGAAAAAACUCAGGCAUCUAAAUUUUGGGUCAAUCACACUUCUUGCGCAUCCAGGAAAAUAUUGUGGCUCUCUGGAAAAUCUCAAUUUCAUUUCAGCCUUGCAUCCUUGCUGUUGUACUGAAGAUAUAUUGGGCAGACUACCUAAUCUUCGAAAUCUCCGGAUUCGGGGAGAUUUAAGUUAUAAUCAAUCUUUGUUGUCUAAAAGUCUCUGCAGAUUGAGCUGUCUCGAGUCAUUGAAGCUGGCGAAUGAAAGCAAGAUGCCACGGCUCUCCAAAAUCGUCCUUGCUGAAUACCUAUUUCCUCAUGGUCUAACCCACUUGAGUUUUUCUAAUACUGACCUAAUGGAUGAUCCCAUGCCGGCACUAGAAAAGCUGCCGCUUCUUCAAGUGCUCAAACUGAAGCAAAAUUCGUAUUCAGGUAGAAAGCUGAAUUGUGGCUCUGAUGGUUUUCCAAAUCUCAAGGUAUUGCACCUGAAAUCAAUGCUAGAGGAGUGGACUAUGGGGAUUGGAGCCAUGCCAAAACUAGAAUGCUUGAUUAUCAACCCCUGUGCUUACUUGAAAAAGAUGCCUGAACAGCUCCGGUGCAUAAAGAGCUUAAACAAGUUCGAUUGCUGGUGGCCUCAGCCGGAGCUGAGGCAAAAGCUACGGGAAUUUGAGGAUAAGGAACAGUGCGGCAUUCAACUAUUUCCCUACGGAAUUUGAUUAGCCCCUAUUGAAUUUGAUGUAAGUUUUUUCUUCUUCCCCGAUUACUUCAACCUUUAAUUAUUGAUCUAAUUUCAUAUAAAUGUUUUCUUCUCUACAAUAGAUUUGAUAGUACGCAGUGCCUAAACUAUAAUCAUACUAUAAAGUUUUUUCUACUAAUUGUGAUUGCUUCUAAUUUUUGUCUCAACAUAAACUUAAAGUGUCUACCACAGUUCUUGAUGCUGACAGCAUUCAUUAAAAACUGUAUGAUGCGAUCUUCAAUUAGUUGUAUGUGUAGGUAAAAGCAGAGCGGAAACUAUCUUAACUGCACUGCAGCCAAAGUUUCAAUUACAACCAGAAUUGAGCCUUCAUCCUUUCAGUGUUCACUUCUGCUGGGUUGUCUACACGUUGUUUGGUUUCUUCAUUUUCAAGGAUUUGCAUGCUAACAGUAAUAAUGUCAUGUUCGGAUUAAUAUAUUGAACAAAAGUCUGAUUAAUUGUUUUACUUUCUAUUUUCAGUUGCACUGGUGUGUAUUCAAUUUGUCAACAUUCAAAUUGAUAUAUGUUAUUGUUUUUUUUUAUUUUAUUUCUUCCUCUAGUUUUUAAGUAGCGGUAUAGUUCAACUUCAAGCUUAGUACUUCAGUUAGAAGAAAAGUAUUUGUGCGGUGAUCUCAUCUCAUCAUGUCAACACUGGCAGAACGACAUUGUUGUUCGGUUUUUUGGAAUUUCACCGACAUGUCGGUCAUCAUAAGGGUGAGAGUGCUGGUCAAAAGUGAGUUGGGGUUAGGUAAAAAAGUACAGGAAAAUUCUAGGAUUGUUAGAGAUAGCCUUUAUCGUAGUUUAUAAGGCUGGUUGAUGGGCCAUCUUCUCAGAUCUCAUCAAAGCUAUGGAGAGAGAGAGAGAGAGAGAGAGAGAGAGAGAGAGUUGAAAUAGAAAGUUGUAUAUUCUUGUUCUCUAUAACAAGCUCUACAUCCUGGUAACCUUGAUUUGUGAAAUAGUGAAAGCUUGAAAGCUUGAAAGCUUGUAUCCUUGUUCUUCACUGGAUUUACGCACUUUGAUUCAAUUUUUAGUUUGGAUUUCUGAGAAUGAGUCUUCAUACAUCAAAUCAAAGAUGGUCUAAGGUGUUUGAUCUUGGUACUGUUAGAGGAUUAAACACAACAAAAAGAAACUGGGGCAUGGAGAUUAAGCCCUAGUCAAUUUGGGUUGUCCAACAGCCCUUGUAAAAUCGAAAACCAGCACUAAUCCUUGGUGAUUUGGAGCAGAAGUUUAACGAGUAAAGUUCUGAAAGUGGAAGAUUUAAUCGAUAGUGCUGCACGUUUUGGAAGCUCUGUUAGAAUUGAUGACUGAAUUCUUUCUCUAUUGAUUGAUUAGCAGCCCCAUAGCAUGCUAAUGGUUUUCACAUUUUUCCCUCCACAGCAUGCAGAGGGUGUCUGUAGUGCAAAGAAGUUGAUGGCACGCAAAUAAGUUGCUUGUGUUGUUUUUAAUCUCAAUAAGAUAUAUAUCAUCGGCAUAUUGAAGUUUGUGAUUAUUCUAAGAAAAAAUAGGUGCUUUAUUAUUUGAAUUAUCGACAAAAUAAUUCCAUUUCAUUAUUUUGUUAGAUCCACUAUAUGUACAUGUUUGAAUCUUAUUCAUAAGUUUUGAUUUCACUCUCACGUUUCAUAUGAUGUCAAAUCAGAUAAAAAGAAAAAAAAAAUGAAAGCUAGCUUGUCGGUAGCAAUUACAUUAGCAUUUAGCAAAUGUUAUUUUGAGUACAAGCACAAUUUGGCUCAUUUUCCAGGACCAACAAUCUUCCAUUUAGAAAUGCAUUGACAAACAGGUUAAUUCGUAAAAUGAUGGUUUCUAGAUAGAAUCUUUCCAAGUUGCACUAACCUCCUUUCCUUAAAGCUAAACAUUAAUUAAUUUGCAUUUUAUUAAAUUUUUCUUUCUAUUCCUUUUACAUAAUGAUUGGUCACCAAUCUUGAUUCAAUUUUUUGAAUAGCAACUUACUGCUGGAUUAGUUAGAGAAUUAGAUAUCACUCAUAGUGUGUCAAUCGGAGUUGAGUUUCAUCAACAACUAAAGUUAUUUUUAUACAAUUAAUCUUUUCAUAUCACAUUAAUCUGUACAAAUUUAUUUAUGCAACCCCAGCUGAGGUUGGCAUGGAGACACACCGCACAAAAUAUUAUGAUGAGACAGUAAACAUGGAACAUAUGUUGUUGGAUUUAGAUUUGCUUGAUGAGAAGAGAAAGGCGACAAGAAGUCGAGCAACAAUUUACCAGUAAAAAGUGGCUAAGUUCUACAACAAGAAUGUCAGGCUACGACAAUUUCAGGAGGGGGACUUGGUGCUCCGUAAAGUCAACCAAUCAACCAAAAAGCCAGCUGAUGGAGUUUUAGGGCUGAGCUGGGAAGGACCAUACAAAGUACUACACUCAUUUGGUAAUGGCUCAUAUAAGUUAGGUUAUCCAGAUGGCAGGGUCGUCGGCAAGGCAUGGAAUGCAGAGCACCUACGAAAAUACUAUCAGUAGGCCAAUCCUAUUUAUGAUGUUCUUGUUUGUUUGUUUUCUUUAAAUAUGUUAUGAUAGUUUGUUUCUUUGUUAUUUUAAUUCGUUAUGUGUUCAAUUUUGUAAUUUCUGCUAUAUUAAUAUCAAUAAGGUUAUUGAAAAGUGUGACUCUAUUUCUUACCUACUUGUGACCGGUCUUAUUUGAGAUCGGCAUAUUUGGGCCUUAUUGAGGUCUAACAUAAAAAUUUUGAUAAAAUCUUAUUGAGAUUGAGAUCAACAUUUGGGCCUUGUUGAAGCCGAAUGUGAAAAUUUAUCCAAUCUUAUUGAGAUUGAGAUAGGCAUUUUGGCCUUAUUGAGGUCCAACGUGAAAAAAUUUAUCCAAUCUUAUUGAGAUUAAGAUCGGCAUAUUUGGGCCUUAUUGAGGUCCAACGUGAAAAACUUGAUCAAAUCUUAUUGAGAUUGAGAUCGAUAUUUAGGCCUUGUUGAGGUCGAACAUGAAAAAUUUAUCCAAGCUUAUUGAGAUUGAGAUCAACAUUUUGGCCUUGUUAAGGUCCAACGUGAAAACUUGUUGAGGUCGACCAUAGCCAUAACAUUUAAGUUCUACAAUUUUCAACUUGUUGAGGUCGGUCGUACCCAUAACAUUUAAGUUCUAUAAUUUUCAACUUGUUAAGGUCGGCCAUAGCCAUAACAUUUCAGUUCUACAAUUUUUAAUUUAUUGAGGUCGACACUUUAGAUUUGUAAGGCCUAUGGUUGGGGUCGACAGUUUAGUUUUGUGAGGUCUACAAUUGAGGUCGACACUUUUGCGUUGUGAGCUCUACAACUGGGUCGACAUUUUAGUUUUGUAAAGCCAACGGUUGAGGUCGACACUUGCUUUGUGAGCUCUAUGGUUGAGGUCGACAUUUUAGUUUUGUAAAGCCAACAGUUGAGGUCGACACUUGCUUUGUAAGCUUUACAUUUGAGGUUGACAUUUUAGUUUUGCAAAGCCUACGAUUGAGGUUGACACUUGCUUUGUGAGCUUUACGGCUGAGGUCGACAUUUUAGCUUGGUAGGAUCUAAAACUGAGGUCGACACUUUAGAUUUGUAAGGCCUACGGUUGAGGUCAAUAUUUUAGCUUGGUAAGAUUUAUGAUCGAGGUUGACACUUUUGCUUUGUGAGCUCUACAUUUGAGGUCGACAUUUUAGUUUUGUAAAGUCUACGGUUGAGGUCGACAUUUUAGUUUGGUAAGAUCUACAACUGAGGUCGACAUUUUAGUUUUGUUAAGCCUACGGUGAAGGUCGACACUUGCUUUGUGAGCUCUACAUUUGAGGUCGACAUUUUAGUUUUGCAAAGCCUACAGUUGAAGUCGACACUUGCUUUGUGAGCUCUACGGUUGAGGUCGACAUUUUAGCUUGGAAAGAUUUAUGGUCGAGGCUGACACUUUUGAGUUGUGAGCUCUAUGAUUGAGGUCAACAUUUUAGUUUUGUGAGGUUUACAAUUGAGGUUGACACUUUAGAUUUGUAAGGCCUACGGUUGAGGUCAACAUUUUAGCUUGGUAAGAUCCAUGGUUGAGGUUGACGAUUUUGCUUUGUAAGCUCUACGGUUGAGGUCGACAGUUUAGUUUCUUGAGGUCUACGAUUGAGGUCGACACUUUAGAUUUGUAAGGCCUACGGUGGAGGUCAACAUUUUAACCUUGUAAUAAUUUAUAAUGAAGUCAGCUUCGCGCUUCUUAAGGUCGACUUUCCAGCCUAGUUACAAUCGGCAAUAGCCUAAACAUCUUCAGUCUUGUUGUGGUCGACAUUAGCUUUGUUAAAAAUUAGCGUCUAGGCUAUGUAACAAUUAUCCGAAUACAAAAACAAAAUGAAAGCUCAACAAGAGUUAUCAGUUUGUAACACUACAAAAAGGAAAGCCUUAUAACAACUUUUCAAAUCUACUUAGGAAGCAUUCUCCUCGUCUUCAACAACUCUGCUAGUUAAAGAUGUCUCACCCUUAACUCUAAUCUCAUCACCCUUAAGAACUCGAUUUGCUUUUUGAUCCGUACUCGAUGACUUCUUUUUAGCCUUUUCUUUGCUCACAUAAGCAGUCAACAUCCAUUGAAAGUCCAUGUCCGGGUGUUUCUCUUGGAACAAUUCGAUACAUGUCUGAAUGACAUCCGCCUUCAGUUGCCUUUUCUCCAGUCGAAUGCAUUGAUCAACAUCAGACUUAACUUUUUCCAACUCAUAGCUAAGAUCGGCAAUCUUGGAGUCUUUGCCCGCAUUAGAUUUCUUUUCGGCUACUAAGUCUUCUGCCAAGUGAGUAUUUUCAUCGUUGCGAGCAUUGAGGUCACGCUUGAGCCGAUCUCGCUCGCUUGCCGUCUUUUCAUUCGUGAGGUUUUCUUUUAUCAAAGUGCGCUCGAGUUCUUCUAUUUUUGCAUGGCCUUUCAAUGACUUUGCAAACAUCUCAAUAUGCGCGGCCAUGAUCAAGGAUUGCUGGGAAAGAAAGCAUGACGGUUAAGAUGAAAAGUAUAAACAUCAAAGAAAUAAAGAUUGUGAAUUAAUACCCACCUCAGCUUGGUUUUGAGCAAGCGCUUCAAGGGCAUGAGUAGCUGACAAGUGGGAAAAAUUCUUGAGGGUAUCCUGGCUCACAAAUCAAGUAGCUAAGUUCACCAUGGGUAGUAAGUCUUCUUCUCUUCCUUGCUUUGACUCUAUGAUGUCACUGCUUUCAAGCAAGCUUCCUUUUGGACAUAUCGGGGAAGGGGUAGAUGGUAAAAUGCACAAGGGACGAGAGUCGCUAGCUCGGUCACUUUUGCUCUGAGGUAGCAUGUUGCAAGCAGAAACAGCGGGUUAUUUUUCUUUUUUCUCAUCAGCUUUGUUUUUAUAUGAUGCCUACCGUGGUUUCUUACUAUGUGGUUCGCCUUCCUCGUCUGAUAUCUCCUCGAUCAAGGCUUUUGCAAUUUCUGCAGGGGUACACUUGGUGGUAGACAUGUUUCCUGCAUUUAGCAAUCCUUUCUCAACUCUAGCACUCAGCUUGUCACUUAUAUUAAUUUCUUCUUCCAAGUCACUAUAGUAAAAACAUGUGUUAGAUUGUAUCCUUAUUUUGACCUCAACCUGAACAAAACUUGAAUUACCUGGUCUACUAAAAUGAGUGGGAACUUUAAACCAAUCCUUGGUCAGCUCUACACCCCUACCCUAAUUUCCACCCACCACGAAAUACUUAUUUUUCGAACCUCUACAUGAGCCUGGAAAGUCAAGUACUAUUCUUCUACUCGUUGAUUUUGACAUAAAAUAGUACCAUCCUUUGUGAUUGAUCCCAUGCUCAUUACAAAAAUAUAAGUGAGUAAACUCCUUAAAACACGGCUCGGUUCUAUUCUGCUCAGCCCAUACAACAUACAUACCACCUAAAACCUUCCAGCCAUUUGGGUCAAGUUGACUUGGACUGAAACCCACUCUCACCAACAUUCGAGCAAAAUAAGGUUGAAUGGGCAACCUAAAACCAAGUUCAAAAAUUUCCAGAUAAAUCGCAGUCUCUCUAUUACCCAAUUUACUUGCCACCUCAUCUUUGCCCAACAACUUAAGUGUAAUAUGGUCUGGAAUAAGAUAUUCCUUCCUCAACUCUUCAAUCUCUUUCUCUGUUGCAUCAAAGUUUAGUAUGUUCACGCCGUAUUCUUCAUGCUCAUCUCCCUCAUUUUCAAAUUGUGCACAACUCGAUUCCUCAUUCACCUUAUUUCCGCGUCUUAUUCCAUAUUACAAUUUAAUUCUACAUUAUCUUCCCUGACUUUUCCAUUAUCAUCUACACCCAAUGCAAUAUCACUGAGCCCAUCCAACAACUCCUUAUUCGCAUUUUACGAAUCGCUACAAAGUGACCCAUCUUCACUCCUUAAUUCUAUUACUGCCUAAUGUUACAUUUAACAAAACCUCAUUUCCAGCCAAUAUUAACACCCAGUAUGUAAACAGCAAAUUACAAGCAACCUUUCAUUGUCAACAUCACAUCCAACACAAUACAAAACACAGCAACAAGCAAAUGCGCUUGGGAUGAGACAACUCACCGAAUCUCCUUUAGCCAGAAUGGAUUCCAAUUUUGCUGAUGGUCAACAAUAGUAACAUCAUUCAACAUUGGUUCUACAUCAACAAAAUGCAACAUUAGCUAAGAGUAGUUUAAAAAAAAAGAAAAAGAGAAACACAGCAAAGAGAAGAAGAAGUUCGGGUUUCGACAAUAACAAAGAGAGAGGGAGAAUGCAAAAAAAAAAAGAGAGAGAGAGAGAAACACAACAAAGAGAAGAAGAGGUUGAGUUGUGACAAAAACAAAAAGAGAGGCGAGUUCUGUUUAUAUAAAAAAAAAAAGGCAUUUGGUUUCAAUACACAUAUAUAGAUAUGGUAUUUAUUAAAAAAAAAAGCACUCAAAAGAGAAGAUGGCGCGCGAGGUACUCACCAACAGGUUUGAUUAUGGCUCAGUAGCGUCGUUGCUCAAUUUGCCCAAAAAUUGCAUGACGACGACAGCUCAAUAUUUCACUUUUAUUGUGAAAAAGUGUGGAGGAUGAGGAAGAAAUGGAAGCCCAAACGAAACAGAAGCCAAAAGGUAUUGAGAAAAGACAAAAUGUAUGUUUUCAAUUUGCCUUUAUCAACUAUUCCACAAUUAUCAACUAUUCCCUCCCCCCAACCUGAAAAAGACAUUGUCCUCAAUGUUUUAAAAGGAAAGAGAAAGAGUGUAGAAGAAAUACAACAUAAACUCCAUAAGCAUUUUCCCUCUCUCCCUCAGAAUGCCCUCAGGAAAAUUUACAAAGCUCGUUGUGAACGAUUGCAUUUGUUAAUGAUCAAUGGCAUUCCUUCUGACAUUUGUUGGUUAAUUGAAGCAAAGGUCCGAUUAGCAGGUGAGUUUUUUGGUCAAUUUGUUUCUUACAUGCCUGGUUUUGGUAAAAGUACGUUUGCUAAGAAAAGGAGAGCUAAACGACUUGGCUCAAAAUGUCAUAACUGUGUAAGACUUGGUUGCAAACGACCAGAUUGUAAAUCUUUAGGAAUGGUUUCUGAUACUCGUGAAGAUAAAAUUAAAUUCGUUAAAGAUGGCAUGAGUAAAGAAUCGUUGGAUGAUAUCUUACGAUCUCUUGAGACGCAUCGAAGUGGAUUUGUGCAACGUGAGAUUUACAAUUUGUGGAUACUAUUCCAAAAACAAAGUGCACAGUUUAGUCUUGGGAAUCUGACUCAAAAAGACCCUGUUUGCCAGUUUAUAAGAAAACUGGAUAGGAAGCCGAUCCUCGACCCAUAGAGGGCGUUCAAGCCGUUACUGGACGUAAAACCAGAGGAAGAUGUGAGCCACAAUCACAACUACCAGUAAAUAUCCUUUCACUUCACUGUUAUUUUACUUUACUGUUAUUUUAUCAUUUGCAUUAUUGCAUUUAGCGAUGUGAUUUUGUAUUUAAUAAAUAUUUGGUUUUCUUUUACUGUUUGCUUUUUCUAAUCAUUACUUUCUUUUUACUGUUUGUUUUUGAAUUAUUGAGCCACGAGCUUUACUCGUCAUUUAACAAAUAUUGCCAACCCAUUUACAGCUGUUUCUCAUUAUUUAUGUUACCAAGAUCUUUAAAUAUGAGCUCAUUUUUCAAACACUCACAACUUGUUUUUGAAAAAUUAGUCCAAUGGCAUCAUCUUCGAGUAAACAAUUCAAAAACAUUUGUGUGCUUUCUGGGUUUCACUAUGGAAAGUACAAAGAGUUCGUUCAGGCAGCUGUAGAUCUUGGUCGUGUCAUAGCAGAGAGGAAACUGCAUCUUGUAUAUGGAGGAGGUGAACGAGGGUUAUCAAGACUUGUCUCAGAAGCUGUUUUUACCAAAGGAAGCCAAGUACUCGGCAUUAUCCCAAAACCCAUGAAACCGCUAGUGUGCAUGUCUGGCCCACCAAUUGGAGAAGAAUUAGUGGUAUCAAGUAUGCAAGAGAGAAUAUCUGAAAUGAUGAAUCAUGCUGAUGCUUUUAUUUUCUUGCCAGGAGAUCUUGCAACUUUUGAGGCACUAAUUACAUUUGCAUCUUGGGCCCACUUGAACAUUCAUCAAAAACCCAUCGGUUUGUUAAAUGUUAAUAAUUUUUAUGACGGCUUGCUAACUUUUAUUAACCAUGCAAUAAAGAAUCAUUUUGUUCCACAUUCUGUAAAAAAACUAUUUAUCUCUGCUUCUACUGCUAAUGAGUUACUUGAUCUUUUACAAGCUUAUACACCAGAGCCAGAUCCACAGACUGUUGCACUGAAUUGGUCGACUAAUGAUGGUAACGGUAACAGUAGCAGUAAUAAGAAGUGCGAUUUAGAUUUAACUCUCCGUUUGUAAAUAUUUUAUGUUGUAGUGUUCAUGUGAUGUCUUCUACACUCUUUCUCUUUCCUUUUAAAACAUUGAGGACUAUGUCUUUUUCAAGUUGGGGGGAGGGAAUAGUUGAUAAUUGUGGAAUGUCUUGGUCCUGGUUAUGUGUUUACAAGAAAAAAAAAACAUUUUUUUUUCUGUAAAGACUAACUUAGGACAAAUUUGAGUCGAAGAUGGCAGGAUAUAGAUAAUGUAGUUUCUCUAGAAACGCAUCUUCUUAAUCUUAAGAGUGUUGUUAAAAAAAAAAAUUGACUUUUUCUUCAUCUUUGUUAUCUACUUUUAAGCUUCUGCAUCAAGUUCAGGUGAGAUCUCCUCUUCUUCUUCUUUUAUUAUUCUCUUUUAUUUUUAUUUAUUUAUUUAUUUUUAUUUUUUGCAUAUCUGUAAAAUUAUAAAAUGUUAAGAUACUUUUUAGAUUAGGUUGUGGGGUGGGGAUAAUUGACGUAUGUUUUAAAUAUGUGUGUUGUAUUUCUCUUUUCUCUUUUCUUUUCUUUGUUAAAAAAAAACCAAAAAAAAAAUUGUUUUUUGUCUAGGAUGGCCGUGUAAAGAGUCACGACUUUUGAGACACAUCCUAAUAGUCUUGUUGUAUUAUAUUUUGAUUUUGAGAUUCAUAGUAAGUUGUUUUUGUUCCCUUUUCUUUGAAUUACUCAAAUUUGUGAACUCUCCACUUAGUUAUUAAGUUAUUUAAUUGUUUACUCAUUUAACAGGUAUUAUUGAAUCAUUCUUCACACACACAUUAUGACACAUACUAGUGGGUUGUAAGUUAAAAUUUUACAGCAUUUAGUUCUUUUGAUUUAUUAGGAAUAGUAUCUAAGGUGGUAGAAAGUGUAUAUUUCUAAAAAAAAAAAUUAAAAAAAAGAAAAAAAAUGUUUUUAAUUUUGUUAUAUCUAGAAACCCGAGUAAUUAAGUCCAUAGGGGUGCUUCAACACCUAGUGCCCUAAGGUCAACUGGUCUGGGAGUCACUGGCCUAAAGCUCGCUACAUGGGUAAUAGAUAUAUUGUUUGUUUAUUAGAAACCCGAGUAAUUAAGUCCGUAGGGGUGCUUCAACACCUAGUGCCCUAAGGCCAACUGGUUUGGGAGUCACUAACCUAAAGCUCGCUAAACGGGUUAGAAAUGUAAUAUAUAAAAAAAAAAGUGUGAAUAAUCUAUUGCCUAAAGAUAUAAUUUCUAAUGAAUUUUAGAACGAAAAUGUUGUUUUUCUUUUAAUGAAGCCCCAUAAGUAUUGUGUUAAUUACUUGAGCACAAAAGAAGGUUUGAUGAUAUUCUGGAUAAUGAGUGAACAUCAAUGUGGUGAAGGAAUUUGGGAGAGUUCAUUUAUUUGGUAAUUUAGAGGAUAGAUGAACAACUAUUAACUUGCAUGUGAAUUUUAUAAAUCUUAAUAUAACGCUUUAAUUGCUAGAGGGCUAGCAAUAAGCUGGUUGGGGGGUGUGAUUAGUAUUAAAAAUUGUUUAAUUAUCAAGCGAUAAUAUGUUAUUUUAUGCUUAUAUUAUAAUUUAUAUUUGUGUUUAUGUAAUAUAUUAUGAAUUAUUAAUUAUGUUUUAAAUAUAUUUAAUUUUGUGUAUUUUUAUGUGUUUAUUAGGAAAAUUAUUAAUUUCACGUACUUCGAGGCUCCAAACAAAUAAACAGAGGUCAAAUUUGGAUUCCAGAGGUCCGAAAACCUUAAGAUCAGUCAAGAUUGGCUUAAAAUUGGGCUUGUGUAAAAAAAAUUGACUUUUCCUGUUGACCGAGCACUGAUUGGAUGAUGAAAUGAGCUUACAAUAGAUAUGAGUGCAUGGGAUAACUGGCAAUCUUGACUAAAUCUCAACCGUUCAUGAUUCAAUGGCCAUGAUUGUGCCACGUGGCAAUGGUUGGUGAAGCAAGUUGGAGGAUCCGAAUCUUUGUAUUCGGGUCGACCCGAUCCACCCAUUAACCUGUCAAAUCUCAACCGUUCUUUGGGCAAAUCGGACGAGUCAAAUGAUGCCAUGUGUGAUGUUGACUUUUGAAGUUUGACCAGCCAUUGGAUCUUGAUCUAAGGGUUGUGAGGAGCACAUGCAUGAAGCCUAUGAUGGACCGCAAAGCACUGGAUUAUGAAUUUAUUUUUCUAUAAAUAGGGCCUCAUUUUUAUGUUUUAAUCAUCUCUCUACAACUCUCUUCUUCUCAAAUUCUCUCCAUCUCCUUGUAAUCUUGAUUUCCAGGUGUGUUUUUAAUAUUUUGUAUAAUUAUUUUCAUUAAUAAAAUUAGUUUUAUUUCCAAUUUUAGUUGUUUUUAUUUCUUUUAAUUAUAAGUAAUUCAAUUUUACUACUUCUUUUUAUUUUAAUUAUGCUUAACUAAAUAAUAUUAGUUAGGGGAAGGUGAAACUCUUAAGAAAUAAAUAUGAUUUAAUCAAAUUCUAUGUUUAAUUUUAUAGAUUAAAUUAUUUUCUAUUUAAUUUUAUACAUGUUUUAUAUUUUGAAAAUUUGAUUUAUUGUAGACAAACAAAUGAAUUUGGCACAAUAAAUUCUUAAGAUCUUAAUAUAAGGCUUGGUGAAAUGGUAUUUUGACUUAUUGUAGACAAAUUAAAUUUUGGCACAAUAAAUACUUAAUCCAUCAUAAAUUUAAAGGGAAAAUAAUAAUAAUUUGUAUAAUUAAUCUGUUUCCAAUACCGUUCAUAUCUUCUCAGUAUUGAAAAUUAGGGGACUGGUGUUCGGUUUGUAAGAAUUUUUCUAUUUUUCAUUAAUUAGUUUCUAACAUCGAAAAUAGCUUCCCGAUGUUGAAAACUAGGGGACUGGUGUUCGAGUUGGAUUUUUCUGAUAACCUCUAGAAAGAGUCAACAUUGUUCUGGUUGGAUUUUUCUAGUAAUGUUUAGAAAUAUAGUCGACCCCAAUCUACUCAGAACUCAUUGUCGUCGAGCUAACCUCGUAAAUAUAACUUGGAGCCUAAUUUGGCGGCCUGAUUUACAAGUACGACCUGAGAUUUAUGUAAAUGACCUAAUUUAAGAAUACAACCUUAAGCCUAUAUGAGCGACCAGGAAAUUCACCAGUCCGACCUUGAAAUUUAUUUGUCCGACCCGAGAAUUAGCUUGACAUAGAAAGCUAUCGGUUGAGAUAACAUGGCCUAGUUUCUAGGAAAGUUGUGAGCCACGAUCAAUUUAAACUAUUUCUAAUUGAUGACCACGUGCAACUGCUGAAGAAAGUGGGCAGAAGUUAAGGUGGUAACCACCCACGACCAAGGGCCUAUUUAAGCUGAAAAGGGCAACUGAGGAAGGGGUUAGAAAAAUGAACCAAAAUUUCUAUAAGUCACCUAUCUAAAAAUCUUAGGGUUCCCGAUAAUAUUUUUAGUUUUUUCUACCGAAAAAAUUCGUUAAUUUUCACUUUUCACAAUUCUCCCUCCUCGUUUACCUUUUUCUUAUACACAAUUUCUGACUUAAGAAUCAGAGAGUUUACGUCAGGACCCCACCGGCGUAUCCUAAUCGUGUUUUCUGGUUGUCAGGUAUAUAAAGCUGGGUUCAGACCGACGUUUGAGCUUGGAUUCGUGCUGUAAUUCCCCAAAAGAAAACAAAUUCAACUGUUGAGGUUGUUUUUCGGCAUCAACAACGAACAUCAUACUUGUCACACUCUUGGCCUAUAAAUCCUUAGAUUCACAAGUCUUAUAUCACUUGAACGAAGAUGCUAGUGGUGUGCCUCCAUGGAGCUCUGACUCAAUAGUUUUCAAGUAAUUUUAUUUAGCUAACCACCUAAGUUUGAAUCGUGGUGAGGAAAGAAGAUAAAAAUUAAUUUGGUCUUUGCACCUCACUACCUUUAAAAGAGUUCAAACUUCAGACUAGGUUUUGAAUUUUAAUUAUUUUAAAUUGAAAUGCUAAGUCCAUAUAUUAUAUAUGUGAGUUUUUUUUUUUUUUUUGCCUAAUGUUGAAUUAAACUAUAUAUUUAUGAAAUUCUUGAGAUACAUGGAUUUCAGGUUUUAAUAGAAUCAUAUGUACUAGCUAUAUAUACAUCUUAAUAAAUGUUUGCCAGACCUUUAUUUGUACUAAAAUUAUACAUAUCUAGACUCCCAUUACACUUUAGAUUGUAAGAAUUUAAAUAAUUUUUUUUUUCGUAGAAGUCGUUUGGAAUUCUAAGAUCGGAAGUCAAAUUUCAAUAACGAUUUUUAUUUAAAUAUAUAUAUAUAUAUAUAUAUAUAUAUAUAGGGAGAGAGAUUCUUGAGUGCAUAUACUUAACAUUAUAUAGUGUUAUAGCGAAUUUACACAAAAUUUGCAUAUCGACACUUGAGAAUUUCUAAAUAUCAAAGUUUUCAAAUGCAUAAGUCUAAACAUGGAUUUAGUACGGAUUCACUACAAAAUCAUAUGAUGUUAAAAUGAAUUUACAAUUGACUACAAUACCACAUGAUGUUAUAGAAAAUUCACACCAAAUUUGUAUUAUAUAAAGAGAGAGAUCUUGCUUUGCUUUAUAAUUGAAUAUAGGGUGAUGAUAUUCCCACCCCUCAAAUUUUGUAAACCUACCUCACUUUAAAAAAUUAAACCAUAAAAAAUUCACAUUAUUUUUGACGAUUUCAAAUUAUUAAGAAUAAAAUUAAGCAAUUGACUAAUUAAAUCCUCAUUAAAUAAUUAAAAUACAUUUAUGAUAUGAUAUCUCAAAACAUUUAUGCUAUUUUUCUCAUGAAAUUGACUAAUUAGAAGAAGGAUUUGAUUGAUUAACAGUUUAAAAUUUUAUUUAUUUUAAAUUGAAAAAAUGUGAAUUAUUUUUUAAAUAAUUCUUUGAAAUGAUUUAAAUGCGGCACGUGUCCCAUCAAGUUAAAACCUGAGAAGUUGAUUUAAAUUUUAUUUUGGAACAGAAACCGAGUAGCGAGGCCUCGUUGGUCAGGAAAUUCCGAGGUAAGUUAAUCAACAGUUCCACUAAUUAUUUUUAUUUUCUUCCAAAGUUUAUUUAAUUAGACCAAUUUCUGGCUUCCUACUUAUAUUGCAUAUCCAAUUUAGGGGUUGAUUUUUGGAGAUGGACUGAAACAUUAAUAAGCUCAGAGAAAAAAAAAAAAGAAAAAUAGAUUGAGAUUGAAAGUCAUUAUUAACCAACAUACAGAAUACAUAUGCAAUUAAUUCAAAUUUCUAAAAUUACUGUAAUUGUUGGCAAUGUGCUUUUUUGUUUUGGUUUUUUUUGGGGGGGGGGGGUUUCGGAAAUUUGCAUGCAUGCCUUAAUUGAGUUUUAUCACUUUAAAUCCUAAUUACUAAUGUUUUUUCUGUUAACGGUUGAAAAUAAGAUAAGAAGAGAGAAGGUGAACUUGAAGAAGUAUAAGAAGAAAAGACAUGUACUGAUGUUGAUGUGUUUAUGUGAAUAGAGAAAUGGAAUCUUUGUCCAAGUUUUUCCCUUGAUGUUCUAAAGUUUGCAUAUAUAUGUUUCAAGAAACAAAUGGAAAUUAAAUAGUACAUAAAGGUGAACUCACAUUGUCAACUAAAGGUUACACUACCAUUUGCCCAAUGGUUCCAUUACUAUUAUCAUUUUCUUUAUUCACAGAAAUAUCAUCGGCCUCAAAUUCAUCAGUAUAAGCAGAGGGACAAGGACAAGGACAAGGUGAGUCUAUUGUAUGACAACAACAAGUCUACAAUUUAGUUUUAUUUCUGCUGCUGCACUGAGGAAUCACUAGCAUCAACCACCUACUUUAUUACCGUUGCUUCGUUUUUCUCAUGAAGACAGUUGACUUGAUGAAAUAACACUUCUAAUGAGGCUGCCGUAGAGAAAGCAUAUAUGUUAAUCACCUGUUGUAAUCUCAUGCCAAAAUCAUUUCAGUUUCUGCUCAUACAAUUAGUUACUUCAACCUUUGUCAUAUGUAUUCUCCACUACUUUAAGAUACUUAGAUAGUGAAUGUGUCUAAAUUCCAACUCAAAAGAUUCAUUUGAGGAAAAGUUCUUCAGAUGGUCAUGUAGAGUUCUAAUUUAUCUCAGCGUCAUACUCUAAAUACUUGAAAACUACAUGUCAAUCAUCAAUGUUCAUCUUUUGUUGACAAUCUCAACGAUGUGUUUGGGAAAAAAUUAUCACAAUUAUGUUUAGUCCAUUUAUAAGACAAUGUGUCAUGUGAUCCAUUAGUCUAUUGAAAGGUUGCAAUCAAAUGAGUUCAUGUCCAGAUUGUGAAGUUGGUUAAUUUCAACAUAAUAGCAAUGAUUGUAUCCAUUGCUUUUAUCAAGUUGCUAUGUUAUUGUUUUUUUAAUAAGUGGCAGACAUGACUUUCUAUUUUUCCACAGCUUAAAUUGUUAAAUAAUUGAUAAUGCUCUUUCGCUUACUCUGUUCUUUUCUUUUUAGACAAGCUUUAUUGCUUUCGCCCUUUCUUUCUUGAGAGUGGAUGUAUAAAACAAAUUGGCCUUGACUGAUACUUGAUGAUGUUGUAAUUAUUUCUCCCUGCUUUAUUCUUCUUACAACAUAUGGAAGACAGAGUACUGUAAGAUUCAUUUCCCGUACUGCUCUGCCUUGAUCUGUUCUAAUUUGAGAGUCAGCAAUCUUGAUUUAACUUCUUGGAUGGAGUACUAGCUAAGAGAAGGGAGGUAUGGGAGCCAGCACUAAUUUUUCAAUGAGGAUAUAUGGGCAUCACCUUCAGACUAUUUUCGGAGAGGCUGAGAAGGGUGUUAGCUGGCCAAGAAGUCACAUUGCCUGAUGCUGCAAAAGAACCUAUUCAGAACCUUCAUGCCGAGGUUGAAAUCGUUACUCCUUGGCUGAGGGACUAUGAAUAUGAUAUGUCCUGGCUUCUGCUGCAAAAAAUAGGAGAAGAUGAAGUUGACAACCCAGACCUUGGGCGGAAAUCAAUUGCUUUACCUAUGAAUCUGAAAAGGUCAUUAACACAUUCUCAACAGCAUCACUCAACAAAAGAGUCAAAGCAGGCGCAACAAGGACAUUUGUGAUGCUCUGCUAGGACUCUAGAGCAGAAUCAAUGAUAUAAAACAGCGGAUGCAACAACUUCCGUACAUCGAUUCUGGAAUCAUUGAUGAUUUCAAAAAUAUUGAAGAUGAAGCUGGUUAUUUUCCUGCAUCUUUAUCUUCUAAGAAUAGCGGCAUGGUGGGUCUAGAAGACAGAAUGGAGAAGUUGUUAGAUAUUUUGAAAGAGGGACCACCUCAGCUUUCAGUGGUGACCAUCUUGAUAGCAUUGGGUUGGACAAGGUGGCUUUUGCUGCAGAGGCUUACAGCAGCAGUGAUGUGAAGCAUUAUUUUAAUUGUCACGCUUGGGUUCCAGAGCCUUACAACUAUGAUGCUGAUGAUGACCAAAUAUUAGAUAUGAUUAUGAAGUUUCUAAUGCCUUCAUCUAGGUUGAGUAUAAUAAAGGAUAAAAAUUAUGAAAUGAAAAAAAAAAUUCAACAAUAUCUAAUGAUCAAGCGGUAUUUGAUUGUGGUUGAUGAUGUGUGGCGCAUUGAAGUGUGGGAUGUUAUUCGAGAAAUUGUUCCGGAUAAUCAGAAUGGAUGUGGAGUACUAAUAACACUCAUUGAAAUUGAUAUCGUCAUCUCAUUUCAGUUCAAAAGCGGACAGAAUAUUUGGCUUGAUUUAGUGCCCACUAAGAGGACCAUUGAGAGUUGUUUACCUUUUGGAAGUACAUGGAACAACUAAUGAAUAGAGUCUUUGUUGAUGCAAAGAAGAGAAGCGUUGGAGGCAGAAUCAACGCAUGCCCUAUUCGUAGUCGUUGCUGGCCUUCAUUGUUGCAAAUGGCUCUCAAAGUGGAAUUUAUCUUUUCAUCCUAUCCUAGAUCAAAAAGGUAAAUCGCGAAAAAAAUGUCAAACAUGUCUACGUUUUUUAAAAACAGAGUGAUUUUGCUUACUUAGAUGAUUGUGACUCGUACCCGCAUUCUUUGUUGUACUUCAAAAAGCGACCACCUUGACCCCAUAGAUUGGGUGAAAAUCGUUUUGAGUAAUGGACUUGGGAUCUCUUGUUCUCAGCCAAUUUCCAUCCAAAAUUGAAACUUUAUUUCUUUUGAUAUGAAGCUGAACAUCCCUUCCCUCAAAAGCCUAGCUUCAUCAUUAUUAAGAAAUCUCUGAAUCUCUACACCAUAGCCAUUCCCUUUAGCUACAUAAAUCAUACAGCAGAUGAAUUUUGGAAGAUGAACAAACUCAGGCAUCUAAAUUUUGGCUCAAUCAUACUUCCUGCACAUCCAGGAAAAUAUUGCAGCUCUCUGGAAAAUCUCAAUUUCAUUACAGCCAUGCAUCCUUGCUGUUGUACUGAAGAUAUAUUGAACAUACUACCUAAUCCUCAAAAUCUCUGGAUAGGAGGAGAUUUAUAUUUUUAUCAAUUUUUGAUGUCCCAAAGUCUUUGCAGAUUCAGAUGCCUCAAGUCAUUGAAGAUGGUGAAUGAAAGCAAGAUGCCAAGGCUCUUCAAAAUUGUCCGUGCCAAAUACCUACUUCCUCAAAGUCUAAUCCACUUGAGUUUCUCUAAUAUUGAACAAAUGGAUGAUCCCAUGCCUGCACUAGAAAAGUUGCCACUUCUUCAAGUGCUCAAACUGAAGCAAAACACAUAUUCAGUUAGAUAGCUGACUUGUGGGUCUGAUGGUUUCCCAAAGCUCAAGAUAGUGCACCUGAAUUCAAUGCCAUGGCUAGAGGAGUGGACUAUGAGGCUUGGAGCCAUGCCAAAACUGCAAUGCUUGAUUCUCAAUUCUUGUGCUAACUGGAAAAAGAUUCCCGAACAGCUCUGGUGCAUAAAGAGCUUAAACAAAUUCGAGUGUUGGUGGCCUCAGCCGGAGCUGAGACAAAAGCUACGGGACUUCGAGGAUAAGGUGCAGUAUGACAAUCAAGUAUAUCCUUAUGGAAUUUGAUUUGCAUGGAUUUAAUUAGAUGUAAGUUUUUCAUUUUAUGUAAUAUCAUCAACCUUUAAUUAUUAAUAUAAUUUCAUACAUUUGUUUUUUCUUCUCCUCAAUAUAUUUGAUAGCACGCAGCUUCCUAAGGCUAUAAAGUGUUUUCUAAUUGUAGUUGCUUCUAAUUUUUGUCUCAACAUUAGACAUGAAGUGUUCUUCACAGUUCCUGUUGCUGACCCCGACCAUUUUCCCUUAAUUAUUUUUAGAAGAGGAAGAACCCUUGUUUAUUGAUUGUUGAACAGUCAGGAAAAACUAUAAUUUCAUAUCUUAAAUUACUUGCGCAGGUGAAAUCAGAGCGGGAAAUAUAUCAACUGUAGUGCGGCAAAAGUUUCAAUUUCAACCAGAAUCCGGCCUUGAUCCUUUCAGUAUUCACUUCUGUUGUCUACACAUUAUUAAGUCCUCAAGAUUAAUACAGGACAUUGUUGGGUUUCUUUGUUUUCAAGGAUCUGCUACAAGCAAUAAUGUCAAGUUUUUGGAUUCACUGUGUAUAUUCUAUUCAUGUGUCUUCAUUCUUGUAAUGUGCUUGAAACUCCAACUUAGUGUGGACGUGUGUGGUUUGGUUGUACCAUGUGUAAUACAUGUUGAUUGUCAUAAUUGUCUUAAGGGAAUUCUGCAUCACUUCCAUCAGAAGAAAAGUUUGGAUGUAGGCACCAUUGCUGCUGAAUCUACUAUUGAUUUGCUCUAUGUUUUCUAUUUUUUUUAAUUCAAUUUUGGGGAUUGGGUUUUUAGCAUUAAGUGUUGAUACAUCAGAGGACUAGAUAAAAUAAAUAGAAACUGGGGCAGAUUGCCUAAUCUUCAGAAUCUCCAAUUUUAUGGAGAUUUAAGGCCUUAUCAUUCAUAAAUAACUUGAAUGCUAGAUUGUUAUUAUCUUAGAUUCUCUAAAUAAUAAUCCGAAUAAGAAUGUAGGAAAAAUAUUGAUUACAAAUGCUUGUUUUGAACAAAUACUACCUAUUAUUUUAAAUUUUGGACAUAGAAAUUAUAAAUAGUAUUAGCAUGUGAAUUUUAAGGUAUUAGCUGAUUCUGUCCAAAAUUUAGUCGUUGGUUUUUGCUGAAAAAAUGAAUGUGUAUAAUUUUUUUUCCCUUUUAUUUUCUGUUAUACAUUGAUUCCCCUGCUUCUAGCUGAUUCUGUUCUCCUUUAUAACGAGAAAGAAGUUAUUUUUUGUGCUCUUAUAUAUACAUGUUAAGCUUGGAUAAGUGUGGUUUGGUUUGUUUUAAUAAUAUGAUUGUGUGGUGUCAUCUGUAAUACUUUUUAAGGGUGCAAUCAAAUGAGUUUAUACCUUAUAGUGAAUUUGGUUAAUUUCAAGAUAUCAUUUUUUGGGAUCUUCGACUUUGGUUGCUAAUACAAAAUUCCUCAAAUCUUGAUUGGAAUUUGGGAAUCUGUCCUAAAUGAUACAAGAUUUCAUAAAAAAAUUUCAUUCUGAUUUAUUAUUCGAGUUGAGAUUCAAGAUCUAAUUUUCUUCCAACUUAAUAUUCAAGACGGGAUUUGAGACGUCUGAAAAUCUCACUUGAGAUCCCUUAGGCGAUCAAAUGAGUUCAUAUCCUUAUAAUGAAUUUGGUUAAUUUCAAGAUACCCUUUUCUGGAAUCAUCCGCUCUAACUGCUAAUACGUGAACCUAGGCUGGCAAAAUUAUCCAGAUACCAAUCGAGAUAGAAACCCUACACAAGAUUUGUUACAAGUUUCUUAUCCCAAUUUUGAAUGUGGGUUAGGAUUUGAGACCCAUUUUACACCGAUUCAUAAAUUUCUUUAUUUAGACAAUAACUUAUGACAGAUUUUUAGUUCAAAGCUCACGGAGUAAAGGUUGAGUUAUUGGUGCAAUCAUCCGCAAUUUUAUGCAAGCAUGCAACAUAUUAAACAAGAGAAUAUUUAAUUAUUUUUUGGGUUCUGUUAUUACAAUAAUGAUUUUGAAGAUAUUAGUGGGAGAAAAUUCAUUUUUUUAAAUCAUUUUCAAGCUUGAGAAAAAGUUUUCUUGCUGGCAUACACUGUCCUUUAUCUAUAUUCCAGUCUUCCAUUAUGUUAAAAAAAAACAAAUAUGAAAAUAAAAAGAAAAUAGGACAUCAUCAAGUAUCAAUCAAAGAUCAAUUUGUUUUAUCCACUUUCAGGAAAGAAAAGGUAAAAACAAUCCCGCUGGGGACCAUAAAGUUGGUGUUUUUUUUGAGGGUUCGGCAUCAUGUUUGCCUUCAUUUAGCAAAGGAUAUAUGAAAAAGAGAUGAAUAUUGCACUUUAGAUUUGAAUAAUUCCAAUUGGAUUUUGAAUUAAUUAGAUUAGGAAAAAAAAAUCAUUCGAAUCCAACCUGAAUCUCAAAUAUAAUCAAUUCGAUUCAAAAUAAAUUGAUAUUUCAGAUGAAUUUGGUUUUAGAUUGUUUCGUAUUUAAAUGAAAUUUUAAAUUCAAAUAGUAUUUUAAACUCGGAUUGAAUUCGGAUUUAGGUCUUUUUGAUAAUUUUUACAAAAAAAUCAUGAACUCUGUAUAUAUAUGUAGAGUAGUGCAAUCCAAUCGGAUUGUUUAGAUUAAAACAUCCAAAUUCAAAUCAGAUCUAUUCGAAUCCAAUCCAAUGCACACCUUUAGCCCUAUUGGAAUGAUCAUCUAACCAUUCAAACUAUAACGUAUUAUGUUGUAGUCUGUAGAGCGCUUGAAAAGAAAAUCUCUAAACAAUAGCGACUAUUAUGCAUUUGAUGCAUCAAUGAAUCAAAUUCUAAGGUGAUGCUUUUUCUCUCUAGACAAGCUUUAUGGUCCCGGCGGAAUUAUUUUUAAUCUUUCAGUCUUUUGAGAGGGCUAAAAAGAAACUAGUCUUGAUAGCCUAUUUUACUUUCUUCAUACAUAUAUAUAUAUAUAUAUAUAUAACACAAAUUAUAAGACACCCUUUUAUCUUCUUGCAUAAAAAAUAUUUUAUAUACACGUACAUUAUACCUCAGGUUUUGUGCAGAAAAUCAUUAUUGUACAUCAAUAAUUUCUCAAUAUAAUUCCUCUUAUCAAUCAGUAUCCCCACGGCACCUGCAGCAUCUAGGUUUAAGAUUCAUUUUCCAGUACUGCUCUGCCUUGAUCUGUUCUACUUUGACAGCCACCUGAACUUGAUUCAACUUCUUGAGAGAAGGAGGUAUUGGUGCCAUCCUCAGUUGCUUAUGUUGACUAAUGUUGAAGUAAAAGGAGAGCUUUUAACCAUUUUUUUUAUAAUUGUUUUCUUUGCAUGCUAGGGCUGCUGGCUACUGACUACCGAGAGUGAAGGAGAUAUGGACAUCAACCUUGGACUAUUUUCAGAGAGACUAAGAAGGGUGCUAGCUGGUGAAGAAUUCACGGUGCCCGAUGCUGCUGAACAACCUAUUUAGAACCUUUACACUGAGACUGAAAUCGUUGCUUCUUGGUUGAGGGACUCUAGAUACAACACUGCUUGGUUUAUGUAGCAAGUCAAUGCAGAAGAGGGUCAAACUCUUGCAGAAUUAGAAGAUUUUAAGGCUAUCAUUGACAAAAUUCGUUGCUUUUCAUACAUAUCUGAGAAUGUGAUUGACACAUUUGCUAUCAGUAUCACUCAACAGAAGAGUCAAAGCGGAUGCAGCAAGGACAUUUGUGAUGCUCUGCUAGGACUCCAAAGCAAAAUCAUUGAUAUAAAACAACGGAUGCAGCAAGUUCAGCACAUCCACUCCAGAAUCGUUGAUGAGCUCAAAUCGUUUGAAGCAAAAGCUAGUAAUUUUCCUGCAUCCUCAUCUUUUAAGAAUAGGGACACGGUGGGUCUAGAUAAUAGAAUGGAGGAGUUAUUAGAUCUACUAAUAGAGGGACCGCCUCAACUUUCGGUAGUGGCUGUUGGAAAAUUUUCAAAAUAAAUGUGUCUUAUGGUAAAGACAUGUCCUAUUAAUUGUGCCUUAUAGAAAAGGUACCUUUCACUAAAGGCAUGUCUAAUUAAAUGAUGUCUUGUUGUAAGGACAUGUCCAUUUAAUUGUGUCUUGUAGAAAAUGUAUCUUUUUACUAAAUGAUAUAACUUUUCAUGGCAACAUUUCACUUAGAGAUGCAUCAUUUCAUGGUGACAUUUCAUUUGAAAUGGUGAUGAUUCAAUUUGGACCAUUGAUUAAAAUCAAAUCUAGAUCCAAUGGCCAUGAAUGAAGGGGUAUCAUGAAAUAUGACAACCCAAAUGAGGGGGCACAAGUAUAUCUAUAAAUAGGGGUCAUGUUUAAGCCAUUUAGACAUGAAAUUAAUGAUCCUACACCACUUUUUUCUUAGCAUUCCUUUCUAGUACGAAUUUCAACACAAAACACCCAUUUCUUUUGUGCAUUCACAUUCCAAUAUAUUGUUUUCUGCAGGAACAAUAUAUUGUUUCUUGGCAGGCUUGUAACAUUCAAGAGUAUUCUGGUUUGCUUUCAUCGAUGCACAACACAAGCAAACAAACAAGUGCUUCAUUGUAUCCUGGAGGCGUAUUUGCUUAACCCAUGUGCAUUACUCAAUCGGUGGGGGCAAAUAACAUCUUAAGGAAAGUGACAUUUGUAACGCGCCUUGAAGUACACAAAAUUUCUGCAGUUUACUUAUUACUAUUAUUUUUCUUCUUACAUAAGUUGUAAACACAUUACUUUAUGUAAUAAAGUUCCGUCAUUAUUGUUACAUUUGCCAUUCCCCACAAGUUCAACCUCCAACAGUGGCCGUACUUGAUAGCAUUGGAUUGGACAAGAUGGCUUUCGCCGCAGAGGCUUAUAGCAGCAACUAUGUGAAGCAUUAUUUUGAUUGUCACGCUUGGGUUGAAGAGUCUUUACCAUAUGAUGCUGACCAAAUAUUGUACGACAUUAUUAAGUUUGUGAUGCCUUCAAGCAGGUUGAGUGAAAUUAUGGAAGAAAGUUCGGAAAUGAAAAAAAUUAUUCUUCAUGAAUAUCUAAUGACCAAGCGUUAUUUGAUUGUGCUUGAUAAUGUGUGGAGAAUAUCAGUAUGGGAUGUUAUUUGAGAAAUACUUCCCGAUAAUCAGAAUGGAAGUAAAGUAUUGAUAACACUCAGUCGAAUUGAGAUCGUCGCCUCAUUUCAGUUCGAAAAUGGAGAGAACAUUGGGCUUGAUUUUGUGCCCACUGGAGGACCAUUGAGAGUUACAUACCAAGGAUGGCCUUUCCGCAUCUUAUAUCAUGAAAGCAUCUCACUGAAAGAGAAUAUAGAGGAAGCCCUUGAUGAACCCCUGGGGCUUCAAGUCGUUGCAUAUUGUAUGUUACCUUUUUACUUGAAACUUUGUUGUCUCUACUUAUCUGUGUUUCCCGUACACUUUGAGAUAUCCACCAAGCAAUUAUAUCAGUCGUGGAUAGCCGAAGGUUUCAUUACAGACAACAAUGAGGCAACUGCCGAGAAAUACUUAGAACAACUAAUCAAUGGAGGCUUUGUUAUCCUCAUUGAAGAAGCCAAGGGAUUAGUAUUUAUAUAUAAACACUUAACCAUGCAUGAACAAGAAUUUUAAGGAUAAAGACUCUCUCCACACGAGCGUACGUGGGGCGAGGGGGACAAAUCCAUGACCAAUUUGGUUGAACUUGUGUGCGCCCUUAAAUGUCAGCCCAAGCACCGAUGGAACGUGUUUUAUUUCCUUUUAAAUUUGUUCUAACAGUUUCACACCUUUUGAAUUCAGAAGAUUUGUAAUAGCUUCGCAAUUAUUUUGGGCUGGUAUGCAAUUCAAUUUUUGAAUUGAAUUGUUUAAAAUUCAAUGGCUAUUACAGCAAUUAAAUUGCAUAUAUUGAAUUCUGAAAUUCAAUUUUUAUGUUAUUGUUACGUACCCACAUGAGUAUAAAAAGGCACAUUCCUCUUCUGUUUUUACACACAUUGAAACUAGCACACAGAGCACUUACAAUUUUUCUUUCCUCCUUUCGUCUUGUUUUCUGAUUGAGUUUACCGCUGUUGUGGUUCGCCGAAAUUAUCUGUCUGUGCUUGACAGAAAAUUUGUGCCCGUUGUAUCCUGAGAAACAGUUACCAGCAAACUUAAAGCACUUCAGUAGGUAGUAAAUCUGUUUUAAGGACACUGUAUUACAGGCCUCAAGUUUAUUUUCUUCAGUUGCUAUUUUUCUUUUCCUGUUGUUUAUAAGUUGCUGUUUUGCUGUAGUCAAAUUAGCUACUAGUUUAUUUGUUUAACUCACUGUGAUUAUUUUUUAUAACAUUGAAAUCGUCGCCUCAUUUCAGUUCGAAAAUGGAGAGAACAUUGGGCUUGAUUUGUGCCCACUGGAGGACCAUUGAGAGUUACAUACCAAGGAUGGCCUUUCCACAUCUUAUAUCAUGGAAGCAUCUCACUGAAAGAAAAUAUAGAGGAAGCACUUGAUGAACCCCGAGGGCUUCAAGUCGUUGCAUAUUGUAUGUUACCUUUUUACUUGAAACUUUGUUGUCUCUACUUAUCUGUGUUUCUCGUACACUUUGAGAUAUCCACCAAGCAAUCAUAUCAGUUGUGGAUAGCUGAAGGUUUCAUUCCAAACAACAAUGAGGCAACUGCUGAGAGAUACUUAGAACAGCUAAUCAAUGGAGGCUUUGUUGAUGCAGGGAAGAGAGGUGACAGAGGCAGAAUCAACACAUGCUCUAUUCCUGGGCAUUGCAGUCCUGCGUUGUUGACUGUGGCUUUCGAGGGGGAAUUUUUCAUUUCCCCAAUCAUGGAUCAGGAAGUUAAAUUAUGGGAAAAUGUGAAACGCUUCACCGCUCAUGGAAAUUUGAAUGAUUUUUCAUUUUUAGAUCAUUUUGACUCGUUCCUCCAUUCCUUGUUGCACCUCACUUUAGGAAGCCACUACCUUGACUCCAAUUAUUGCGAGAAAAUCUAUAAAAUGUUCAAAUUUCUCAGAGUAUUGGACUUGGGAUCUCUUGUUCUCAUUCGAUAUCCUUCCGAAAUCGAAUAUGUAUUUCUUUUGAGAUAUUUGAACUUGAAUAUCCCUUCCCUGAAAAGCCUGCCUUCAUCGUUAUUAAACAGUCUUUUGAACUUGUACACCCUAGACAUGCCCUUUAGCUACAUAGAUCAUACAGCAGAUGAAUUUUGGAAGAUGAGCAAACUGAGGUAUCUAAAUUUUGGCUCAAUUACACUUUCUGCACAUCCAGGAAAAUAUUGCGGCUCUCUGGAAAAUCUCGAUUUCAUUUCAGCCUUGCAUCCUUGCUGCUGUCCUGAAGAUAUAUUGGGCAGACUACCUAAUCUUCGAAAUAUCCAAAUAUGGGGAGAUUUAAUUUAUUAUCAAUCUUUGUUGUCCAAAAUUCUCUAUAGAUUGAGCUGCCUCGAAUCAUUGAAGUUGGCAAAGGAAAGCAAGAUUCCACGGCGAUCCAAUAUCAUCCUUGCUAAAUACCAAUUUCCUCCAAGUCUAACCCACUUGAGUUUUUUGAAUAUUGAGCUAAUGGAUCAUCCCAUGCCGGCACUAGAAAAGCUGGCGGUUCUUCAGUUGCUCAAACUGAAGUAAAACUCGUAUUCAGGUAGAAAGCUGGCUUGUAGCUCUGAUGGCUUUCCAAAACUCAAGGUGCUGCACCUUAAAUCAAUGUUAUGGCUACAAGAAUGGACUAUGGGGAUUAGAGCCAUGCCGAAACUAGAAUGCUCGAUCCUCAACCCUUGUGCUCACUUGAAAAUGAUUCCUGAACAGCUUUGGUGCCUAAAGAGCUUAAACAAAUUAGAGUUGUGGUGGCCUGAGCUGGAGCUGAGACAACAGCUACGGGAAUUCGAGGAUAAGGAGCAGUAUGGCAUUCAGCUAUAUCCAUAUGGAAUUUGAUUAGCGUGGAUGGAAUUUGAUGUAAGUUUUUUUCCUUUUUAUCCAAUAACUUCAACCUCUAAUUAUUUAUCUAAUUUCAUGUAAACAUCUAUUCUGUAUGAUUGAUUCGAUAGUACGCAGCAGCCUAAAUAAUAAUGAUACCAUAAAGUGUUUUCUAUCUAAUUUUUGUCUCAACAAAGACUUGGAAGUGUCCAUCACAUUCCCUGAUGCUGACACUAAUCAUUAAUCUCUUAUUAAUAGAAGAGGCAGAACCCUUAUGUAUUGGUUAUUGAAAUAAUCAAGAAAAACUGUAAAAUAAGAUAUUCAAUUACUUGUAUGUGUAGCAGUGUAGGUCAAAGCAGAGCGGAAAAUAUCUUAACUAUACUGCAGCCAAAGUUUCAAUUUCAAUAAGAAUCCAGCCUUCACUGAAAUUGUGUGGUUUCUCUUUUUUUUUUUAUAAGAAUUGUUUGGUUUCUUUGUUUUCAAGGAUUAUGUCAUAUUCGGAUUAAUAUUUUGUACAAAAGUUUUAUUGAUUGUUUUACUUUCUAUUUUCACAUUCACUGGUGUGUAUUCAAUUUGUCAACAUUGAAGUUGCAUAUAUGUUAUUGUUUUUUAUUUUAUUUUAUUUUUCUAGUUUUUGAGUAGUGAUACAGUUCAAUCUCAUUACUUCAGUUAGACGAAAAAUGUUUGUGCUGUGAUCACACCUCAUUAUCUUAAAACUGACAGAACGAUUUUGUCGUUCGGUUUUUUGGAAUUUCGCCGACGUGUCGUCCAUUGUAAGGGCGACAAUGCUGGUCAAAAGUCAGUUGGGGUUCGUUAAAAUAGUGCGUGGAAAUUUCGGGUUUGUUGGAAAUAGCCUUUAUUGUAGUUUAUAAGGCUGGUUGUUGGGUCAUCUUCACAGGUCUCAUCAAAGCCAUAGAAAGAGAGAGAGUUAAAGGGAAAAAGUUGCAUAUUCUUGGAAUGAUUGUGAAAUGGUCCUUGUUCUUCAGUGGAUGUAGGCACUUUGAUUCAAUUUUGAGUUUCGGUUUCCGGAACGAUUCUUGAUACGUCAAAUAGGGUCUUAGGUGUGUGAUCUUGGUACUAACAGAGGAUUAAACACAACAAAAAAGAAACUGGGGCAUAUUGUCUAAUCUUCAUAGACUCCAAAUAUAUGGAGAUUUUAGCCCUCGUCAAUCUGGGUUGUCCAACAGCCCUUGUAAAAUAAAAAACCAUCACUAAUCCUUGGUGACUUUAGGGAUCCAGUAAGGACUAGGUAGAAUUGAAGAGGAGAUUUAACGAGUAAAGUUCUGAAAGUGGAAGAUUUAAAAUUUAAUCUGUAGCGUUGCAGGUUUUGGAAGCUUCGUUAGAAUUGAUGACUGAAUUCUUUCUCUGUUGGUUGAUUAGUAGCCCAAUUGCACUAAGAGAAUAAAGAGCAGCUGUAAUCGUUUUCACAUUUUCCGUUCCAGCAUCCAGAGGGUGCCUUGUAAUGCAGUGCAAUGAAGUUGAUGGCGUGAGGAUGUGCUGCUGCUCACUCAAUUCCUUACAGUCACAUCAAAGCCCUUGUUUGCAGCAGAGGAAUUCCCUUUUGUAUUCAAAUUAAUCCUUCUGCUUUGGUUGUCAUUGGAUUCUUUCCACUCUUUAGCCAGUAACAUAAUGUUGAGUUUAUUGAUUUUGCUAUCUUAAGAAUGUCCAAGACAUUUUGUAAUCAUGAUAUAUUGUCAUUUUAUUUUGAGACAAAAGACUUUUUUCCCAGUUAGCAAAUGCUUAUUGCUUUCAUUUUUUGGAUUGGAAAAACAAAAAUUGGAAGAAGAAAAAUGAAAAUUAAUAAACAAAAAAAAGAUUACAGGACAGCAGCAUCAUGUUCUUUUCUUUGAACUAAGUCUUUGUUUAACCUUUCACCUUUUCCAUUUUGUGAGUUUGGUAUCUCUUUCUUUUCUUGAACCAAGAUUUUUACUUUACUUACAAGUAAAGUUUAAAUGAUCUUGAUCGUUUAUUUUUCUCUGAACUUAUUUUUCUUUCACAUGCACGAUCAUUUUCAAUUCUAACAAAUCAUUCAUCUAUCAAUACCCAAUUUGAAUAAAAUUCAGCAUUCCUUUUCAUAUUCUUUCUAUGUAAUAAUUUGAUUGUGUUGUUUUUAAUCAAAAUAAGAUAUAUAUCGUCAGGAUAUUGAAGUUUGUGAUCACUUUAAGAAAAAACAGGUAGUUUAAUAUCUGAAUUAUCCACAAAAUAACUCCAUUUUAUUAUUUUUAUAUCAUGAAUGUGAGGUUCAUGAUUUAUUUGCGUUUGAUUCUUGUUUACAAGUUAUGUUUUUCCUCACACGUUUCAUAUGAUCACAAAUCAGAUAAAAAGGGGGAAAUUAAAAAAAAAAGAUUGAAAGCUAGCUUAUUUUGAGUACAAGCAAAAUCUUGCUCAUUUCCAGGGCGAAAGUAGCAGGGACGUUUUGAGGUGUUUUUAAAAAUACAGGGACUAAAUGGACACUAACCUCAUAAUAUAGGGACUAAACAAGCUUUUACCCCAUUUAGAAAUGCGUUGACAAAGAGAUUAAUUUGUCACAUGAUGGUUUCUAGGUAGAAUCUUUCCAAGCUAAUUUGCAUUUUAUAAAAUUUUUCUUUCUAUUCGUUUUACGUAAUGAUUAGUCACCAAUCUUGGUUUGAGAAUGCAUACUCAACAUGAGGUUAUAAGAUUCAUUUCCGGCACUCUACCUUUCAUCUCUUGUAAUUUGACUGUCAGCAAUCUUGAUUUAACUUUUUGAAUGGCAACACUCGGCAUGAUUAAUUAGAGAAGGAGGUAUCAGGCAUAGGGUUCUGAGUAGAGUUUCAUCAACAAUUAAUGCUGGUUAAUGUUUGAAUUGACAGACAUAAAAAUUUCUUAUUAUUAUUAUUUUUAAUCUUUUAAUAAUUGUCUCUCUCAAUUAUGUCUCAAUUUGCAUGUUAGGACCACUAGGCACAGAGAGAGGAGGAGAUAUGGACAUCAACUUCAGACUAUUUUCCGAGAGGCUGGGACGGGUGUUAGCUGGUGAAGAAGUCACGUUGCCUGAUGCUGUAAAACAACCUAUUCAGAACCUUCAUGCGGAGGUUGAAAUCGUUACUUCUUGGCUGAGUGAAUUUGAAGAUGAUAUCUCCUGGCUUCUGAUGCAAAAAAUAGGAGAAGUUGAAAUUGACAACCCAGAUCUUGGGACCGUUAUGGAUGAAAUCAAUUGCUUUACUUAUGAAUCUGAGAAGGUCAUUGACACAUUCAUCAGCAGCAUUACUCAACAGAAGAGACAAAGCGGGCGCAGCAAGGACAUUUGUGAUGCUCUGCUAGGACUCCAAAGCAAAAUCAUUGAUAUAAAACAACGGAUGCAACAAGUUCAGCACUUCGAUUCCGGAAUCAUUGAUGAAGUCAAAUCAAUUGAAGCUGAAGUCGGUAAUUUUCUUGCAUCUUCAUCGUCUAAGAAUAGGGAGACGGUGGGUCUAGAUGAUAGAAUGGAGGAAUUGUUAGAUCUAUUGAUAGAAGGACCACCUCAACUUUCAGCAGUGGCCAUACUUGAUAGCAUUGGAUUGGACAAGACGGCUUUCGCCGCAGAGGCUUACAGCAGCAACUAUGUGAAGCAUUAUUUUGAUUGUCACGCUUGGGUUCCGAGCCUCACAGCUAUGAUGCUCACCGAAUAUUAGAUCUCAUUAUUAAGUUUCUAAUGCCUUCAUCUAGACUGAGUGAAAUGAAGGAUAAAAAUUAUGAAAUGAAAAAAAAAUUCUUCGUGAAUAUUUAAUGACCAAGCGGUAUUUGAUUUUUUUUUAUAAUGUGUGGAGAAUAUCAGCAUGGGAUGUUAUUCGAAAAAUACUUCCCGAUAAUCAAAAUGGAAGUAGAGUAUUAAUAACACUCGCUCAAAUUGAGAUUGUCACCUCAUUUCAGUUUGAAAACGGAGAGAACAUUGGGCUUGAUUUUGUGCCCACUGGAGGAGCAUUGAGAGCUACAUACCAAGGAUGGCCUUUCCACAUCUUGUAUCAUGGAAGCAUCUCAUUGGAAGAAAAUAUAGAUGAAGUAUUGACCAUGUCCCUUGGGCUUCAAUGCAUCAUAUAUUGUAUGUUACCUUUUUGCUUGAAACCUUGUUUUCUCUACUUCUCCGUUUUUCCCGCACACCUAGAGAUAGCCACCAGGCAGUUAUAUCAGCUGUAGAUAGCUGAAGGUUUCAUUUCAGACAAUAAUGAGGCAACUGCUGAGAAGUACUUAGAGCAACUAAUCAACAGAGGCUUUGUCAAAGCAAAUAAGAGAAGAACUGGAGGCACAAUCAACACAUGCUCUAUUCCUGGUCGUUGCCAUCCUGUAUUGUUAGGAGUGGCUUCCGAGGUGGAAUUUAUCUUUUCCCCUUUCAUGGAUACAGAAGGUAAAUCACAAAAAAAUGUCAAAUGUUUCUACGCUUAAGAACAACAGAGUGAUUUUGCUUAGAUGAUUAUGACUCGCACCUGCAUUCUUUGUUGUACUUCACUUCAGAAAGCAACCACCAUGACCCCAUAGAUUGCCAGAAAAUUUGUGAAAUGUUUAAACUUCUCAGAGUAUUGGACUUGGGAUCUCUUGUUCUCAUCCAAUAUCCGUCCAGAAUUGAAAAUUUAUUUCUUUUACGAUAUUUGAAGUUGAAUAUCCCUUCCCUCAAAAGCCUGCCUCCAUCAUUAUUAAGUAAUCUUCGGAACCUCUACACCCUAGAGAUGCCCUUUAGCUAUAUAGAUCAUACAGCAGAUGAAUUUUGGAAGAUGAACAUACUCAGGCAUCUAAAUUUUGGGUCAAUCACACUUCCUGCGCAUCCAGGGAAAUACUGCGGCUCUCUGGAAAAUCUCAAUUUCAUUUAAGCCUUGCAUCCUUGCUGCUGUACUGAAGACAUAUUGGGCAGACUACCUAAUCUUCAAAAUCUCCGGAUAUGGGGAGAUUUAAGUUAUUAUCAAUUUUUAUUGUCCCCUCGAGUCAUUGAAGUUGGUGAACGAAAGCAAGAUGCCAGCUUUCUCCAAAAUUGUCCUAGUUGAGUACCAGUUUCCUCCAAGACUAACCCACUUAAGUUUCUCUAAUACGAAACUUAUGGAGGAUCCCAUGCCCGCACUAGAAAAGCUGCCACUUCUUCAAGUGCUCAAACUGAAGCAAAACCCGUAUUCAGGUAGGAAGCUGACUUGUGGCUCUGAUGGUUUUCCAAAUCUCAAGGUAUUGCACCUGAAAUCAAUGCUAUGGCUAGAGGAGUGGACUAU